CCUGCUAGCAUUAACCAAAAGAUUAAAAAAAAAAAAUUUAAUUGCGUACAGUUUUUUAUAAACAUUUCAAAUAGCAGAUAUAUUCCUAUAAAGUUUAACUUUUUAUUUUAUUCCUGCAAAAGUCCUAAUAUUUUCAAAUAUAUUCUUGCUAUUAGAAUUCGUUAGAAAAAUAUAGUUAACUAUAAAUAAAAUACUCAACACUAAUUAGGCUUCGUUUGGGAUUGCAGGAAGAUUGCGUUACGUGCGGUGAGAAAGCACGAUGGAAAAAUAUACUGUUUGUUUCCGUACGCAAUAUUGCAUUCCGCAUAUUAUGAUAAAUCGGUUAUGAUGUAUUUUCUACGGUCCUACCAGAGAACGCAGAAACAUAUCUCUAUAUACUUUUUUCCUAACUUCAUUUUAUCUAACAGCGUCAGAUAAACUUUAAUACCAAACUAAGUCUUAGUGAAUGAGUUAAAUUAACCUUUUUACUCAUCUUAUAUUAUUGAGUAAAGUACUUUUUUGAAAAAAUAUUUUUAUAUAAUUCUAACAGUUUGAGAUUUUGGAGAGAUAUGUUUAUAAGGGCAAAAAUAUUAUUUCUCUUAUUCACUGUUAAAAAAUAAAUAAUAUUCUAACGUCAAAAAUGCAAAGAUGAAUAUCACUGCACUUUUGCAGGAAUAAAAAUGAAAAAUUAAACUUUGCAAAGAUAUAUUUGUUAUUCGGUUAUUUACAUUAACCCUUAAAAAAUAUAUAUAUCAUUUCAGCCAGAAAACUAUUUUCUGUAUAUUUUAGUUGUUGGCCAGAAGAAAAAAAAAGGAAAAAGAAAAAGAAAAAAAAAAGAAGGUGUAUGAACCAAGUUACAACAUUGGGGUAGAAGAGGGACUGGCCACACAUUUGACCCUCCUUUCUUUAAGACCCCCAUGCUUCCACCCAUCACUCCCUCCUCCACCAUUUUCCUCCCUCUCUCUCUCUCUCCAUCCUCACCACCACCACCACCACCACCACCACCACCAAAACCAAACACUAACAAUUAAUCACUCCCACCUCCUCCUAAUCCACUGUAACCACCAUUUUUUUCUUUCCCCUCUCUCUUCUUUAUUUCCAUCAUUUAUCAUCCUCAAAACCACCACCUCCCCCACCCAACAACAAAACAGAGAGAGAGAGAUAGAAAAUGAAUGGGUACUCAAAGAUGAGAGUGAACAGCAGCAGCAGCAGCAGCAGCAGCAGCAAGAGCAGCAGCUACACAACAAAGGCAAGGUCUAUAGACUUUUCAGACCCUACCACCCAUCCCCAGGAGAACCCAAAUCCCACACCAAAAGAUGACAAAAAUGUUGUUGUUGUUGUUGGUGGUGGUGGUGGUGGUGGUGGUGGGGAGAGGUUUGGGGCAGCACUGAGGAGGAACUUCUCCUCAGGUUCACAGAGGUUCAGGGCCAGUGACUGCAGGAGCUCCUCCUCCUCCUCCACCUUUGGUGCUGUGGUGAGAAGGGCUUUUUCCAUGAGAAAAGCUGCUUCUGUUGCAGAAGGGUAUUGGAGAAUAGAUGGCAGUGGAGAGGAUGGGGAUGGGGAGUUAAUGGAUCAGGAAGAAGAAGAAGAAGAAGGAGGAGAGGGUGAGCAGCAGGUGCAGAUGAGAUCUCAGAGCAGGAGGCAGAAGAAGAAGAAGAAGAACAAAGGGAGCAUCUUCAGGGCCUGUAAGAGGCUCUUUGGCCUCUGAUAAUAUUCACUUUCUUUGUUUUGGGUGGCUUCUGAAUACUCCUGAGUUCCUUGGUUUUCCUUCAUGUAAGAUUUCUCUCUUCUCAUAUGAUAUGACAUGAUCUCUUGAUAAUGAUGAAAUGGAGGAAUCUGAGCCACUUCUGUCACAUGGCAUUCAAGUUUUUGACCCAUUUCUUCUUCUUCUUCUUCUUCUUAUUAUUAUUAUUGCAACCUCUAUAUUUCUGAGAAUUGAUGGGGCAGUGCAUACAUGAAGGUCCUGUUGAGAUCUUAUUAGUUUAUGUUUCUGAGAAUUAAUGGGGCAGGACACAGUGAGUGCAUACAUGAAUGUCUUGUUGUGAUCUUAUUAGUUUAUAAUGGAAGAAUUAAUAUUAUCUCCAUUUGGAAUGCUUCUUUUUUUUUUUUGUUUGUUUGUUUGUUUCUUUUGAUUUCUCUCCUUUGAAGAAGUUUUGGUGGAGGAAAAAAAAAUGUCUACUUUUACACUUUUUUCUCCUUUUUGUAGCUUCUUACUAUUAAUCAGGUAUAUAAUAACAAUUAAUUGGACCACAUGAUCUUGUCCUUUUUCUUUUUACUUUCUUGGUUUUUUUUUCCUUGUUGUCUCAUUGAUCUUAAAACUCUUGUUUAAGGGGAUUUUUUAGAACUCUUUGGUUUUAUGAAAAUUUUGACAAUAUUUUUUUAAUCAAAAAUAGGUCUAGUAAUGUAAUGUGUUGAUCUGGAGAGAGGAUAUCAACAAGUUCGGAUUUACAUUAUAUGCAAAACAAAUCAUUAAUAUUUCGCAUCAUUCAUACUAAUUAUGAUAUUUAGGUAGAUGUUUAAAUAUCAAAAUUGUUCCAAAACUACAAAUUAUUAAUGCAUUAAUGGUUGACCUCCUCCUUGGUCACCUCACCAUAUCUUUCCCUUCUUACAUUGGUGGUGAUAUUGACUAAAUAAUAUUUACUAUUAAACAUAGCAGGUUAAUAACAUAUUGAAUAGGGAUAAUUGUAUACGGCUCUCUGCAUAGGUAUCAAAUAGUAAAAUAUUCCUACAAAACUUAAAUUAUCAGAUUUAUUCGUUCAAAAAUCCUACCAUAUGCAAAAAUAUAUUUUCGUUACCAAAAUUAAAAUAACCAUGUGUACCAAAAUUAAAAUAACCAUGUGAGUUAAAAAAACUACCCACAAUAAACUAAGGGGUAAAAUCAUCUUUUUACCCCCAUAUAUAUAUAUAUAUAUAUAUGAGCAGGGCUGCUGUGCUCUCAGGAGCCUGAGUCGUUUUCGAUGAUGGAGUUUUCGAAUCAACGAUCGGCUCCGUUAGACUUGAUCUAGCGCAUUUGAAGUUUCUAGAAAAUAAUUUUUGCGAUUUUUCGAUAUCAUUUACCUAGUGAUCGAAAGGAUUCAAAAUCCAUAAUUUUUAAUGGUUGAUAUUUGCCGUUUUCAAGUUUAACGAUGUAGAAGUAUUCAAAUCAGAUGAAAUUUUGAUAGAAAAUUCUUUAUACUAUCUACAACAAGAUCUAUAUUUCUGAUCGAAAAUUUUAGUGCUCUAUCACCACUUUUUAUAGGAUUUUUAUUUUCAGCCAUUAAAAAUUAUUGAUUUUGAAUCCUUUCGAUUGCUAAGUAAAUGAUAUCGAAAAAUCGCAAAAAUUAUUUUCUAGAAACUUCAAAUACGCUAGAUCAAGUUUAACGGAGCCGAUCGUUGAUUUGAAAACUCCAUCAUUGAAAACGGCUCAGGAGCACGGAGUCCUCCGUGCUCUGAGAGCACAGCAGCCCUACUCUAUAUAUAUAUUAUAUAGAGUUGAGCUAGAAUACUCUCGAGAGUAAACAGCGAGUUUACUCCGAGUUGUUUUCGAUGAUUAGAGCUUCCAAAUUGACGAUCGGCUCCGUUAAAUAUGAUCUAAACCAUUUAAACUACCUAGAAAUCAAAUUUCACGCACUUUCGAUAUUGUUUUAUAUCCAUCUAGUAAAUAGAAAAAUGAAUCGCUGAAAAUGAAUAUUCUUUAAAAAUGAUGAUAGGAGUCUUGUAAUCAAGAUCAAGAGUAUAGAUCUUGUUUUAAAUAGUUUAAGAAUUUUCUAACAAAAAUUCAAUUGAUUUGGAUAUCUUACACGUUAACGAGAAAACGUCUCUUAUCCACCAUUAAAAUUACAAAUUUUGAAAUCCUUGAUCAUUAGGCAAUGAUGUCGAAAAGAUUUGAAUUUGAUUUCUAAACACUUCAAUGGUAUAAAUCAUGUUCAACGGAGCCGAUCGUCAAUUUGGAAGCUCUAUCAUCGAAAACAACUCGAGAGUAAGAAGGCCAUCGUUUCUCUCGAGGAGUAUUUAGCUAAGCUAUAUUAUUAUAUAAUAUAAUAUAGAUAUUAUAUAUAUAUAUAUAUGUAUAUAUAUAUAUAUAUAUAAUUGAGAUAUAAUACUUUUAGAAGCACCAAUCCCCUUGGUGUUUCUAGGUUUCUAGCUCUCGGAUCUAUUCCUUGAUUACUAAUAGUCUUUGGAUUAAAUACUAUUCCACCUACCACCACCUAUCAUCAUCAUCCCAACCUUAUAUCUCUUCAUCCAAUGGCUAAAAACUCAAAAGCACCACCCUCUUGGUGCUUUUGAGAGUAUUCUAGCUCAACUCUCUCUCUCUCUCUAUAUAUAUAUAGAGUCCGGCUACUAUACUCCUAUGAGUACGAUCGCCCUCGUACUCAUAAGUCGUUUUCGAUGAUAGAGCUUCCGAAUCGACGAUCCACACCGUUAAACGUUAUUUAGAGCAUUUAAAACGUUUAGAAAUCAAAUUUUAUAAUUUUUCAACAUCAUUUAUCUUACGAUCAAAAAGUUACAAAAUUGAUAAUUUUUAACGGUCGGUAUGAGAUAUUUGCUAGUUUAACGGUGUAAAAGAAUCGAAAUUAGUUGAAUUUUUAUAGAAAAUUAUAUUCACUAUAUAGAUAAAGAUCAAUAACUCCGUUCUUAAAUUGAAGGAUUCGAUCAUUCAUUUUUAAGACGUCGUUCGAUUUUGACCGUUUAUUUUAUAUCCGCUUGAUGAACUUUAUUAUGAUUUCAAAAAAUUACGAAAUUUAUUUUCCAGAAGUUCCAAAUACUCUAGAUCAUAUUUAACGAAGUGGAUCAUCAAUUCNAGUUUAUCAUAUUAUUUUUUUAGACAUAAUUACAUAUGACUCCCUACUAAUAUAUCAAAUAGCAAAUAUAUUUCUAUAAAAUUUAAGUUAUCAGAUUUAUCCCUUCAAAAUUCUUUCUGUUUGCAAAUAUGUUUUUUCGUUAGCAAAAUUUAGAUAAUCACGAGUUAAAAAAAUUAACCACAAUUAGCUAAGGAAUAAAAUGACCUUUCUACCCCUUAUAUAUAUAAUUUGUAUUCUCAUAUUGAGUCUCGUCAUCUUUCUCAUCCUCUCCUCUUUAUUCAUGCUAAGGCGAGACCUGCAGCGACGGUAAAAAUAAAGUACGCCGCACAUGCCGUAGCGAAGGCAAGGAAAGAGAAAGAAAGAUAGCUUAUUACAUGAAUAAAUUUGUAAGAGCAAAAUAGUUAUUUUAUACAUCCAUUAUUAAAAAAAAUUAAUAGAGACAAACGAACAGGAAUUUUUGGAAGCACACUUGCAAAUUAGAUAAUUUUUUAAGAAAUAAAACUGAUCAUUUAAAUUUUAUAAGAAUUUAUUUAUUAUUUGAUAUUUUAACAUAGAUCUGUAUAAAAUUAACUCUAUUAAAUAUGUUUAUGUUCCGCUAAAGUAUUUGAGGCCAAUAGUUUAAAAUUGAUGUGACAUGUGAUGUGUGGCUAAAAGUCAAUAUUGAUGUGUACUGAGCUCUUCGACAUUGACUUGUGGGUGAGUGAUCGAUCAUAAACAACUGUUAUUCAUACAUCCUAUCUGGGACUAGAUUGCUAACCAUUACAUCUUCAGCAAUUACUCAAAAUAUAUUAUCUAAUGUGACACUAUUGAGUUGACAGCCUAACAACUUGGGACUUCUCUUUCAACUUCAACUGUAACAAAGUUGUAUUCAAAAAAAAAAAAACUUUAAAUGUCACUCCUGCGAUUUCACGCUUUUUUAUUUUAGUAUCCUGUGAUUCAAAAUAUAUCCAUUUAGUGCCAUGUGAUUUUAUUUUUAUUUUUUUAUUAUCGAUUUUACUAAUUUUUUUCGUUAAAUCAAUGACAGAGUUAAAACUAAAGAGUACUGAAGUGAAUAUUCAAUAAAUCUAGACGGGGUAUAUGAAGUUUUUUUGUAUAUAAUUUAACGAAAUAUAUUAACAAAAAAGUUGAUGAAAAAAUAAAAAUGAAACCACAGGAUACUAACUAGAUACACUUUAAACCACAGGAUACUAAAGUGAGAAAAUGCGAAACCACAGGAUGGUAUUUGAAGUUUACCCUAAAAGAAAUGUUUAUUGUGAUUUAAAGUAAAGGCAUAUGUUUGGAUGCUCUAUAAUUUUGGCAUUGAAAUAUUUAUACUACUUUUAUUAAAAAAAAAGAGUUAAUUGCAUACAGAUUCUUGUAAAUAUACAUCUCUAUAAAAUUCAACUUUCAUAUGAUGUUCCUGUAAAAGUCCUAAUGUUUUCAAAUAUAUCCUUGCUAUUAAAAUCCGUUAGAAAAAUUUAGUUGACUAUAGAUUAAAUACUUAACCCUGAUUAGUUAAUAAGGUGAAUUGACCUUUUUAUCUCUCUUCAAUUAACAAUUGGAGCUUUUGGAGAAACAUAUUUGUGAUGGCAAAAAGAUUAUUUUACUUAUAAAAUAAAUAGUGUUUUAAUGAUAACAAACCAGAGGCGUAUAUUUGAAAAUAUUAAGACUUUUGUAAGGACAACAUAUGAAAGUUGAAUUUUGUAAGAAUAUAUAUGCAAAUCACUAUAUUUGUAGAGACCUGUAUAAAAUUAAUCCUAAAAAAUAUAGUAUUCAUAUUCAGAAAAGAGUAUUUGGAUGCCCUUUCUGGGUAUCAAAAAACCAAUAAAAAUAUCUUAAGAUAUUGUAAAUUAUUAUAAGGUAUUCAUACAAGUUGUAAUGCUACGCCCGUUCCAUGAAGUAGAUUGAUUCAGAAUUUGGACGACAAAAACUAUGUCGUCAAAGAGGAUUACUCAAAUCAGGACAAAGUGGGCUCUACGUACCGUCCAAAGAAACCAAACGUUUCGGUUCAAAUUCUAAUUUCAUCUACUUCUGAGAGCGGGCAUAGCAUUAUUUGUGUGAUUAAUUCAACCCGUAUUAGUUUUAUGAACUUCUAUUUCCUACAUUCAAUAUGCACACCCAUAAUACCUCCCCCAUUAAAUGAACAAAAGCAACAAGCUCCAAUAGAAGGAAUUCAAAUUUCAAGAGGAAGCUUAAUUACAACAUAAUUUUGUGUAGAUGGGGAUUAAAAUCUUUUUGGGUAAAAUGUACAGAGAGCCCCUAAACUUUAGCUCUAUUGCAAAUAAGUAUUUAAACUUUUAAUUUUGGUUGUUACUUCUUCUAAACUUUAUCAAAUAGUUCAAAAGACCCCCCUUCUUAAGUGAACUCACUAAUUAUACUACUAUUUUGAUCGGAUGUCAUUCAUUUAAUCCUAUAAGACUUAAAAUAUAAAUAAAUCCUUUUUUUUUUUUUCCUUCCAGUUUUGAUAAUUAAGUUUGAUGAUCGAAGAAAAUGGUUGAACCAAACAUUUAUUUUUGUUGCUUUAUUUUUCGAUGUUAGGAUACAAAAUAAUAAUAAUAACAAUAAUAAUAAUAUUUCUUUGUGUUUUGCAGCUUUAUAAAGCUGUACGACACAAAUGACAAAACUGAUUAUGUAAUCGAAAAGAGGGGUUUAUUAAACUAUUUGAUAAAGUUUAAGGGAUCUAAUUACCAAAAUUGAAAGUUCAAGUGCCUGUUUACAAAAAAGCUAAAGUUCAGGGUAUCUUCACACAUUUUUCUCUUUUUUUUUUAUGAGUAUAAUAUACAACUGAUAUAUCAUAAACUUCUAAGUUAACCCAUCCUGUAUUCAUGAGAUUUUCUAAUGUUUGACUCAAACCUCUUUGUUCUCUACACUCAUUGCCGGGUCUCCAACUUAAUUUCAAAGUGUUUUUUCCCCUCAAUAUAUUAUCUUUUUCACUUCCUUUGGUUUCCAAAAAGUGCUGCCAAGAUAAAAGCUUCAAAUGAUUUAGAAAGAAUACACGCGCGCGAAAAUGUAACAAGCAUUUAUAAGGUAUAAUAAGCUCUUAUCAAGAAUAAAAGAGUAAAAGACAAAGGAAGCUGUUUACCGCCAAUUGUGAUCAAAUUCCUGCUGCUUCGAGGAGAUAAAAAGUGUCGCAGGAGAGCGCCGAAAUAAAAUGGCAACUGCAGAAACAUCAGUAGUUAAAACAUGAUACAGAAAGUGCAUCAAAAGGAACAAUCGAACUAAUGCAAUUUACAUUGAAAAAACAACACGGGGAUCUUCGACAUGUGGUGACUCCAACUAUCAAAAGUUUUUGCAAAAAGAUACGAAAAACCACCCCUCCAUUUCCGUGUAUCUUUUCUUUUUAGCUUUUGGAAACGAGGGUUCGAUGCAUUUGUCCCAUGAAUAAGAGUAUAAGACAAACUAAUAUAAAAGGGAAAAUAUUUACCGACCGUAGUGAUCAGAUUCCGAUGGCAUCAAGAAGCUCAGAGUGUUGAGACACAGACACCAAAGUGUUGGCGACUAUGGCACCACUAGCUGCGACUGCGGGCACUCCAAUUCCUGGAAAGGUCGAGUCUCCACAACAAAACAAUUGUGGGAUAGGUGUCGCAUGGCCGGGGAAUGUGCCUUGUCCUGCUUUGAUGGCCGGACCAUAUGUUCCUCUAUUCCUUCUAAGAAACCUCUUAUGGGUUAGUGGUGUUCCGACUAAUUUCACUUCGCAUUUCUCGCGAUCAAAUCCACGGCCCACUGCACGUUCGACCGCUCUCCACAUUACCUUGCAUGAAAGGAAGCAAACAUUUUUAUUAUGUUUCAAAUUCAAUCUGCCUAUCAUUGCUUGGUGUCUUUUGGCAUUAGUUCCAGUACAGCUGCUCUUCUGUACUCCAGAAAGUAGAAGAUUCCAGAAACCGGGCAUUUAACUACGUACCAAAAAGUUUAAAUAUUUGUCGUGGUAGGACCCAAAAAUGAGUUUUCCGGCUGAAAAGACGAAAGCUCUAAUCUGAUGUUUAAGCUUCUGCUUUUGCUACAAUGCAAAUUUAUUUAUAAGGUUGUCUUUUAAAAAAAAAAAAAAAAUCUACUCAAAAGCACUUUUGCAGAAGCUCCAAAGGGCCAAACACGCCUUAGCUCCUAAUUAUGAGAAGGUGAACCUAAAUAAAGCAGUUAACUAGAAUAAAGCAUUGGCAAUUAAUAUAAAGAGCGGAAAUCAAAUGUACUCAUGUCAUCUUGAUGUUUUACACAAGUUUUAAAUAUUUAUUUUUUAUAUAUUUUUUUGUUGAUUAUAACAAAUCUAUGUUAUCGAUGUUUCCUGGAGUUCCAAACUUCUAUUUUCCAUACUUACCGUGAUAUAAUAAAGCUCUUUUAGUAGAACACAAUAUCCAUUAUAUUGUUGAAAGCAUUAGAAAGUAGCAUAAUAUAGGAUCAAUAUGCAUACCUCAGAACGCUCUUCUUUAAGCCUCCGAUACUCCGCACCUUUACGAUCCAGUCCUUCCCACAAGCCAAAAGGUUCUGUUCCUGGAGUAUAAGCAUGCAACACAUGUUUCCCAGGGGGCGCCAAACCCUUACCAAGAACACUCGGUAUGGAUAUCGAAACGACAUUUUGCUCGGCAUCGACACCCUUGCUCCAAUCAUUAACUACGAUGUGAUGGAUUCCCAGGUCUUCUCGAAUGUUCUGUCAAUUGGAAGCUAUUCAGUUGACAUCGCUUUGGACGAAAGAAAUCAAACGAACGUACAAAGUAUUUAGUUGUUUCUUUCUCCUUUAGUUGGAUUCUAACCUGUUCCUUUUACUUUUGGAAAUUCUCGGGGCACUAAAUAUCUUUCAUUGGAUCUACCACUAAAUAGAUAAUUCACAAUAAACGAGACGGAUAAUACUUCGACCAAAAGGAUAAAUAAUACUUCAUGCGAAUGUCAAUUUACUGUAACUAUCUUUACUGGAUAAGCUAGAGAGCAAAAACUAUAUAAGAUGGAAAAGGAUGUUAAUCGUGCUAUAAGGAAAAAUAUGUUAAUGUGUUCUUCACACAUAGGAUGCAAAGAUGCAGUUAAUUCAUUUGGAAGAGUUUGAUGAAUUAAAUGCAUUAUAAUGUUCUCGCCAGAAAAUAAGGUGUUCUACUGUGAUUUGGCUUGCGUGACAAUAUUAAAUCAAUGUGGUCUUACCGCUGCGUCAAAACCCAAGUGGAGAUGCAUGAAUGAUUCGCAUUGUGGAGUUGCAUUAACUCUAUCUUGGUAAGAUUUGGGGACAAAAUCCAAAGGUAACAGAUUCAAUGUAUCCCACAUCGAUGCAUUACUAACCACAGCCUUUUUGGCACGUAUGAACUGCAAAGAAAGCAAAUUAACAAUCACGUCAGUAGCAGUAGCAAUUUCAAUUUUCACAAAUAGAGACACCAAAAGGUCUAAUGAAGGCUCUACACAUUCAAUAAUAGAAACCUACGCGUACAAAAAUUCUAAUAAAUCGACGGAUUGUAUGUACACUUUGAUUAAUGAACAGGGUGGGUGCAAAUUGUGAUACAUUCAGGGGAUUUAUCUGCACUUCAGCCCUUUUAAAAUAGCUGAUUACCUGUCCACUACUUAACUUCACACCAACGGCUCGACCAUUUUCUACAACGAUAUUUUCCACGUGAGUGCGCAGUGCGAGUCUUCCUCCGAAUUUUUGAAGACCUCGCACAAGAGCGUCUACUAUUGCUCCAGUUCCGCCAAGAGGAUACUCAAGCAUACACCCAGGUUUAUACCAUUCUGCAAACAUAUAAACCUGAGAUUGCGCCAAAACCAAAAGAGAAAACACAAGGCUUUAGCUCUAUAAAUGUUAAAACUACCAUAAAUAAUUCUCGACAGCUACUAGCUAGACUAAAGUUUUUUAAGCUUCAAAACGUAGAUUGGUUAAUCAAGCACUGAAAAAGCUAUUUUCUCGAAUAAACACCUAUUAAUAGAAAAUCUAUUACAUGUAUAGCCCUGUACAAUCUGAAUUUCCAUCUGUACCCCUCGAAGUGCAGUUUCUAACAAAUAUGACCAAGUCAUCCAAUUCUUUGGAGAAAGGUAGUUUUAUAAGAAGAAAUAUUUAAAAGAGGUAAAUUUUGUAAGUAUCUCCAGAAAGAUAUAGAAGUCUAAAAAAGAGACGAAAUAAACAGGGAAAGUAAAUAAGGAGAUGAGUUUACGAGUUCAGCUGAGAGUAUGCCAUCCGAUUUCACCCCAGCAAGUAGAAAGCUCAAUAAAUCCACCCAAUUACGUAUGAAGGGAUUUUUCAGCUCCAGUGAAUCAAUAAUUUCCGAGAAGGGUCUCAACAACUUAGUAGCACCGAGAGCUCCCUGCGGGCCCAUUUGGACAAAGGAUUUCAACAGAGACGGAGCGUAUCGAGCGGCCGCUGUAGAAAGAACGCCCAAAUCUCCUCGAAUUGAAAUAGGUGGCAGAGCCAUCGCAGCAGUAGACAUUGGUAGAACUGCAUCCUGUUGAUAUUCUUACUCAUGUUCAAUUAGAGGAAAUGUAAUCAAUCCAAUAAUCUUGCAAUUAGAAGUAUGAUCUACCAUCAAUUCUCAAGCAAGCAACAACAUAUGUAGAGAUUGCCGGUUCAAUCUGAAGGUUAUCAUCCUAUUUUUAUCUUUCAACUGGGACUGUAAACAAUAUUUGAAUUCAUGAAAAGCUUUCAGUGGUUUCUAGCUACAUUAAAAUAGUGUCAAAUUUUUAUGCUCAAGUGCAUGGGCACUGUAUUCUUUGCCUCGAAUGAUAAAGAGAGAGAAAGAGGGCGAGCAAGAAAAACAAAUUUAAGCCAAAGGGAGCGAGCGCAUAUAAAUUCAAGUUUCGUAUCCUAUGAGACGGCGUGUAGGUUAGCAACAUACAAUUUCACAUCCUAGAUUUGGCAUGUGGCUAAGGAAAGAACUGAACAAAGAUACCUCUAUAUAAGGGCUUAUUUGUUAUAAAAUUUUCUCCAGUAUUAAAUAAAUUUUCAAAUUCACUACAGGUAAAAAAAAAAAAACUCAGAGACUUAAAAUGGCACUCACGAGAAGUUUUUUCCACUCCUGCACAGCGUCAAUACCGACAUACAUCUCAAGGUCCUGUUAGAAUCAAACAAUCAGUUGAAUUAUCAGUACUUUUCAGAAGAAAAAUGAAUCAAAAAAUCAGUAACUAUUUUAAAAUCACUCAAAUUAACUCUAAAAAUUCUAUUUGGAGAUUUUUUUCCCCCUUGACCAUUUUAUUAUAUUUUAAUUUUAAACACAUAUAGAAGCAAUAACUUUAUGAUUUCAAACUAUAAACCAUAUUAAAGCUUUCUCUAUUGCAUCUGAUAGAACUCCAAGUAGAUGUCAUUUUGCAUCUGAUACAAUCAGCAAUUUUGCAAUUCCAAACAUUACUAACAAUGCAGGGUUCUAUUUAUUAUUGAAUUACAUAAAUUUCUCUCAGCAAAGCAAUCAAGUGAAUGCAUCAGCUAGUAAGAGCUCACCUUGAGAAACUCAGUGGGGCCGAUUCUUGAGAGGAACUCACCUUCAGGUAUAUAAACCAUCCAUGAGUUGUAGGAAGCACAUUCGACCGAUUCGCCCAACGCAUCAAGUACCUUAAAUCACUGAAGCCGUUUUAUCACUUAUUCGUUAAUGUUAAUAAGGUUUAAUCGUGAACAAUAAAAAAAAGGAGGAGAUUAUAAGACAAUUAUAAAUGUCAUAUAGGAUGCGCUGAAAAUGCAGAGAGUUGGAAAAAUAAGGGGCAUUUAUUGGUGUCACAACAAAAUGCUAAGAAAAUUAGAAUGCAUUAUAGAAACUAUGUAGGGAGCACCUGAGCAAGAGGAUUAGCUUGAGGACCUCUUGAUUGAAACCCAGAAAACAAGGAUGGGCCCGAGUCGAAUUUGUAACCCUUGAUAUCAAAGGAAUGAGCAGCACCUCCAGGUUGAUCAUGGCUUUCUAAUACAAGAACAUCUUGCUUGUAUCGAGCCAAAAGCCCGGCACAACAUAGCCCACCUAUUCCACUUCCAAUAACCACAACAUCUGCUUCUAGCUUCCCUGCACAUGCACAAGUAUCUUAUUCUGACACAAAGACAUAUUUACCAUCACAAGACGCUUAAAUGAGCUUCAUAGCUCCAAAAUUAGAAGCGCUAAAGCACAGCUCCUGCUGUGGACAAACAAAAAGUCUAAUUUUUUACUGUGUUCACACCAAAGACAUGUAGCCUCUACUGUCGAUAAAUAGAAAAUCAAAUAAUAAUGUGGUGGAAAGCUAAAACAAGCUUCUUAAACACCAGAAGUGCUUCUUUAGCAGUAAGUUGUUGUUUGGAGUGCUUCUCCACACAAUUCUUCUCAAACAGGACUUCUGAAGAAGCUUUCGGCCCAGACGGUUCUAAUCCAUUAAUUGUACAAAGUUACCGUCUGAUAGUCGAUGAAAAAUUCCUACUAUAUUAAACCUAAAAUCAUAAAAAAUAGUAACAAAAUCAAAUACUAGCACGCAUUCUUGGACAGCAUGAUAAUAACUGUAAGUAUUUACUUGGCUAAAAUGUGUUAGUAGUCCCUGCGCAAUCCCGACAUUGUGAUUUGGUUUCAGUACUUUUCACUUAAACACUUGAGCACCGGAAUUUUCACUUCGAUUACACUUUAAUUUCUAAGGGUUAAAAAAAAUAAAUAAAUAUUCUUACAAAAUGAACAUUUUAAGUUUGUUCACUUAGUUGAGUGAUUUUAUUCAAUUAAAUUGAGAGUUUUGUCAAAUUCAUCGGAUUCAAUCACUUUUUAGUGAAUAAAGCUAGAAUGGACCAAUUAAAAACUAACAGCUAAUAAAAUCAUUAAAUUUAACGAAGUUUGGGGGUCUUAAUCAAAAGAAAAAAAUAGGCUAAAUUAUAAUUUUGGUCCUCAAAUUACAAUCUACGUGACACUUUGGUCCUCAAACUUUGUUGCAAUUUCUGGUUUAAAACUUUUUGAAUUGUUACAAUUAAGUCCCGCAAUUCAAUUUAUAUGAAUAAAUAUUAAUACGUCACUAAUAUGGAACCAAUGUAGUAGUAUUGUGAUUGAUGCAGUACCAAUUAUUAAGAUACUAUAUCACUUCCACUGUUCCACAUCAAUAAUACUCUAAUAAUUAGCCAACUAAAUUAGUUUGAGGAUCAAAAGUGUAAUUUAGCCUAAAAUAGAAGAGUGAUCUAUAGUUGAGGGGGCUCAAUACAUUUUCACCUUUAUUAAGUAUUUCGGUUAAAAAAAAAGGAUAAACUUCAAAUACCACCAUGUGGUUUCACAGUCUCUCACUUUAGUAUCAUGUGAUUUGAAGUGUAUCAAGUUAGUGUCCUUCGGUUUCAUUUUUAUAUUUUCGUCAGCUUUUUCGUUAAUAUUUUAUUAAAUUAUAUACAAAAAAAUUCAAAUACCCUACGUAGGUUUAUCAAAUAUUCACUUUAGUACUCUUUAGUUUUAAUUUUGUCAUUGAUUUAACAAAAAAAAAUUAGUAAAACCGAUAAUAAAACGAUAAAAAUGAAACCACGGGACGCUAAAUUGAUACACUUUAAAUCAUAUGGUACUAAAGUGAGAAAGUGUGAGACCACAUGGAUGAUAUUUAAAGUUUUUCCUAAAAAAAAAAAAAAAGAAACAUGCAGGGAGCAAAUUGAAACACAAAGUAGUAAAGGGAUCGUCCGCACAUUUUUCGCAUCUCCUUUUUUUUUUUCUCGUACCUGGGAAAGGGUUUCUCCCUCCGGGAGUCGAGGGCCGACCGUCGGCGGGAUUCGCGGGAACCGGCGGCUCCUCCUCGACCAUCGAGCCACUUCGCGCCAAAACCGGUCUCCUUUCCCGCCAAUUUUUGAAUCCGGGGCGGAGCAUCGGAGGUGGCGCGCGGAGGCCUACGAGCGAAGCCAUGGAUGGAGUCGACUAAUUGAGGCGUAAAAUUACAAAAACAAAAAAUGGAGGGGGUAUAAAAGCAAAAUGGGAAGGAGAGGAAGCAACGGUUGGGUUUGAGUUUUUGGGUUACGCUGGGACGGAGAGAGAAAGAGGUGAGAAGGGGAAAGGUUCAGGGGGCCUACGUGGCACCUCGUAGGCCUUGUCGCAAAAAAUUGUGGGCCCACUUUUUUCCUAGUAGGAGUGGGGUGGAAAAAAAUCUGAAAUGCACCGGUUAUAUUGCUGAUAUUAUUUUUAACUAAUGAAAUUGUUCUUCUUAAAUUGAUACGUUUAAUUAUGGUUAAUAAAAAAAUAUUUUUAUUAUAUUUUUUUUUAAAAUAAAGAGAUAUGAUUGAUUUGUUACUGAUGAUGUAGUGCAAGUAUACUACAGUAGACUUUCUCGUAAGGUUGAGAUUACGCUUGGGCAAAUUUUUAGACUGAAUCAAAGAAAAAAAAAAGUACCCAUCUUUCACUCUUUUUUUUAGCGGAUCAAAACAAAUUCGCAACAAAUUAUUAAUUUUUUUUAUUUUUUAUUCUCACUUACUGUUUCAUUGGGAGCUGCUCGAGCUCCGUCAAGCUGGAUCCAUUUGUAUCCCUAUUUAGGAUGUUGGGUGAACAAUUUUUUUUUUUUGUUUGCUAUUUUUUUUGGUGGGUUUUUUUUUCUUUUUCAUUGCCUCUUUUAAAGUAUUUAAUUUUAUACUUAGAUUUCAAAUAAAUUUGAAUUGGAAAAAUAAUUUUAUAUUGUCCACGUGGGUGCCAUAUUGUAAAGGAUAAAUAGAAUAUUUAUCAUCAACAUGGUGAUAAUUAAUUAUAUUCUUCUCAACAUUUAUCACGGUGAAAUAUUUUACUUGAGUAUGAUAAUUAAUUUAGUGUAUUCAAAUACUGUUAACUGAGCAUAGUAAAUAAUUUAUUAUUUUCAAGUAAAAUAUUUAGUGAAUUUUUCGUUGUCCAAUGUGGCCUAUAUGUGAACAAUAUAAGGCCAUUUUUGUAUAAAAAUUUUAUAGGAUCAAUUCUAUAAUAAACUAUGAGUAACUAGUUAAACACCCGCGCUUCGCUGCAGAUAGCUUUUUUUAUUUGAUUAUCAAUUUGAAUCAAAUAUUUUGUAAUACAUAAGGAACAUAAAAGGAAAAGCAAGUGAUUGAGAGAAGUGAAGGAAAAAGAAAAAAAAAAAAAAAGGAAAAAGUGGAGAGAGCUGCAAUCAGUUGUUGGAUCUCCCUAUUGCGAGGUCGGUUUUUGUAUGACAUUACUAUCAGCCAUCUGCCUCUACCAAGCCGAAUUUGUAAAUUACAUAUACAUUAAUUUGCAAAUAUCAAAUCAACAUUCACCAAAAAAAAAAAAGAGACUUCAACUUGAUUCAUCAACAAAAAGCUUCCAUUAGUUGCUUCUAAUCAGAAUUUUAUGCCAAUCAACAACAGCUUGGGACACCGACCGUCCCUAGAGCAAGUGGCAAAGGGCUUGGUGGUUGGUACCAGAGACCCAAGUUCGAAUCCUAGUUAAUUCACAUUUUUAGGUAAGUUUAUUUCGCAAUGAAAUAAACGAAGCGGGUAGCAUGCUACCUAUCUCUCAAAAAAAAAUAAUAAUAAUAAUAGCUUGGGACAAACAAUCUGCAACUAAAGAACAAUAAAAUAAAAACAGGUUAGUCAACAUAUGAGUAAAGAAUAGUAAAUAAAAGUUAGUUAUCAUAAAGAGUAGUAACCAUCGAGCGCACUAUAUUUCGAUGCUUAAGAUAAAAAAUUACAGAAAAAGUAGUCAAUCUUUGAAAAGCUUUUUCUGUUCUUCACUUUAUAAUUCUAAAACAAAAGCAGACAACAAAUGAAGUAAUCAGCAUUCGUACAAACUUGGUGCAUUCAAAACGAUAAACCUUCUUGCAAUUUGCAAUCCUUUGGAAAAGGACAGAGCCACGAAGUCAGGUUCAAAAUUUUUUGAUCUCCAGCGAGUAGGUCUUUGGUUACCACCAUAUUUCCAUUUUCUUUUUAGUGUUUUCAUUUCGAUACCCCCAAGGCUGCAGCAACUGACAUAUGACCAGCCAACCUGCCAUGCCAUUGGGAGUGGAAGAAGAAUGUAUGGAGAAACUAACUAUUAACUCAGGCAAAUGUUGCUGUAGCGGAAGCAGGCCCGUCAGGGAGUUCUUCUCAUCAUCACAGCCUUAUAUCACAGGGCGAGGAAAAAGACUAAAACCCAAAACAAAAACAAAGGAAAGCAAAGUGGCAGUAAUGAAUAACCAAGAUAGCCAAAAGCAAACAAUGUAACAAAGAAUCAAAUGAAACAAUACAUCACAAAUAUCAGGGGGCGGAGGAAAAGAAAAAAAACUAAAGUCCAAAACAAAAUAAAGGAAAGAAAAAGAAAAAUAGCAGAUAACCAAGAUAGCCGACAGCAAGGUUCAGAUUUGUGGAUCCCCUAAAGCAAAAGUGUAUGAUAACUAUUGUGUGUUUCUCUACAAUAAUAUUCGUAGGCUGUAGCGAUUGCCCCAGGGCCGUUCGUUAUGCCAUGCCAUUACGAACAGAUUCAGUAGAGUUGUCCAUAUCAUCAUAACCUGGCACGAAAGGGCAGCAAGAGCAACACUAAAUAGGCGAGGAACUUAAAGAACUCCCCAGCAUCACAAACAUCCAACAUAGUGCAACAAAAUAAUUAUGCAGAUGCAUUCCCACAAUCCGGAGCCCAAACACUAACAAAACAAAAUUAAAAAGUGGCUCUUCCUAACGACAAAUAAAAAAAACUGUAAUAGUUAAAAAAGUGUAGAAAGCAGAAUUCAUGUCAUGCAUCUGAAAUGACCAACAAAUAUAGAAAAAGUAGAGUGAGCAGUAAAUAGCAGGUACAUAUGUGCUUAUUAGCAACCCCUCUAGAGGAAUCUGGCUUCCUUCCAGAAGAUGAAUUUUCUAAUAAUGAGCCAAAAGCUGUUGGUUUCUUCAAUAUUUGGACUGAAGCAACUGUUGCCUGCAUCAAGGAAUAUUCAACUAAUUUAACUUACCUUAAACUUCAAAUAGAGGUCAGAGAAAGAAAAAAGCCAAAAGGCUUUUGACAAUUUCAUGCAUUUCAGACACAAAUAUCAUCUCAUUGCUUAAAUUAAUAGCUAAAAGGCAUCAAUUAUACAUAUUUACUUCUACAUCUACAAUAACAAAAAACGUUAAAAAAAAAAUCAAACUUUUUUUAGGUUUCGCAUCAAUUUCUCAACAAAAGGGCAAAACCCACAACAUCAAAUCACAAAACCACAUAAGAAAACACAAAUAUUAGGCGUUUUAGCUGCAUGUAAUUGACUGCGGAUGGAUUUCUCAACCCAAAAAUUCGAAAAAAAUAUAACACCGGCGGGAAGAAGUGGGAGAAGAAGGAGAAGAGUAGGGUAGAGGUCAAGAGAUCCGACAGGAUCUAUGUCAGUCAAAGUAGGGGCAUAAGUAAAUAAAAUCUAAGCUUAACUGAGCGGGCACAUGGCGAGUGGAGCUGGUAACUAACGGGUGGAACCCGAUUCGCCAACUUAACCAGGCGGAUCAAGGAGCCCAGAUCCACUUGCAGAUUGGGCCCAGAUCAGCCCAUUACUAUUUGCUUACUUGUUUUACAGUUUAAGCCUUUAUCUUUCUGUAAUUACAUUUCAGUACGUAAUAAAGGAGGUAUAAGUAAAAUUGUAAUGGAAUUAGAGGACGGUAAUGAAAUAGUAAUAUCUUCUUCCCCAAUUUUUCCUUCUCCUUCUCCUCUCCUUCUCCGCUUUCCUCUUCUUAAUUCCUCAUUUAUCUCCCACUCUAUCUCCUUCUCCAACUUCAAUUCUUCAUCUGAAUGUUAUUGAUUUUACCUUGAUUACCGCGGCAUCAUUAGUAGUAAUCCCCAUCAUCCCUGUCGUCGUUCUCGCCUCAGCGAAUCCUCAUCAUAGGCGGGUUGCGUCGGGUCCGGGAUACUACAAUUUGGUAUCAAAGCGGCGAGAUCCGAGGGAAGGGAUAGUGAAUUGCGAGCUAAAUUCCGACCCAAGAGGUUGUUUAAUUGGCAAAGCAAAUAGCAUCCGAGCUAUGGAGCUCCCCUGAGGGUCGAGUUUCAACAAAGGGUGCCACUGCUCCGGCAAUAGUGAGCUUAGGAGUUACCUGCCUACUCGCGAGCCACUGUGGUGAGCCGAAUUGAGGUGAAAGGAUACUGCUUCUGGUCCAAGUCUUUCGUCGAACACCUGGCAUUCAGUCCGUGACAAUAGGUGCAAAGAAGGGAAACCGUUUUAAAUUUCAUAGUAAGAAGCUCCUGGAAGAGGUUGAUAUGGCCGAGGGCACCAGACUGAGAGAGAUGAGCGAGCACAUCAAUGCUCUGGAAGAAAUGAUGCAACAGUUUACAGUAGAGUACAAUGACAAGGUUGAGGAAAAGUUACAGCAAUUCAGUAUGGAUUGUAGUAAGAAGAUUGGGAUCCUUGCACAACAACUCGAUGAGAUACAACAAGACGGGUAGCAGCGGUACGAGGCUCUGCAACUUGAAGCAGCUAGGAGACAUGAAGUGAUGUUGCAAGAGAAUGCUCGGAAGCACGAGCAGUUGCUGCGGUUAUUCAUUGCUUGGCCACAACCAUCUAGCCCAUAACCUGAAGACCACUCCACGGCGAGCAAUCCCUCACUGGUGAUCAAGGAAGGGAGACAACCUCUAGGUGCUCAACCCGGGGUAAGUGCAAUUCGAAUGCAAGGGGAGUAUAAAGGGAAAGGGUUGUUGCCCAAUCCCCAUAGGCAAUUGGAGCGAACUGAGAGCAUCAAGGACGAACAACUCCAUACAUUCCAUACCCAAAACUCGAAUUUCCAAUAUUUAGUGGAGAGGAGCCCAGAGAGUGGAGUGGAAAAUGCGAGCAAUAUUUCUGAAUCUACCAAAUUCCAGAACCGCAGUGGGUAGAAGUGACAACUAUGCAUUUCAUAGGAAGAGCACAUCGCUGGAAGGAAGGUUAUCUCAUAGACAAACCGAACAUCCUAUAGGACGAGUUUGUGGAGGUGGUCUGGAGAAGAUUUGGAUGAUCCGUAGCUCAAAGGAUGGUGAGAGAAUUCAACAAGCUAACACAAAUUGGCACUGUAGACAAAUAUCAUGAAAGGUUUGAAGAAUUGAGAGCUCGAAUGCUAUACCUCAGUCCCACGCUUAGCGAGCAACACUUUAUUGAGAGUUAUAUCAGCGGCUUGAAGGAGGAGUCAGUACCUUUCAUUGACCUUUCCCACCCAACCACACUCGAGGAAGUGUAUGAAGAAGCGAGGUUAAACGAGCAAGCAUUGUCUAUUAUUAUGAGAAAGAGUAGGGUCAGUUACCGAACAGCAGGGAAUAUAUAUCAGGGAAACAUUACUCAGAAGAUCGCUGCCCCGGGGGUGGAGAACAAACCUAACUACCAGAAAGGAGGCAACUCAUAGCCGGGAGUGAACCGACAACUGUUCGAGCAAAGGAAGGUCGCUGGAUUGUGCUUUAGAUGCGGAGAGAAAUACUACCCCAGGCAUCAGUGCACUAACCGAACCUUGCAUCUCAUAAAUGCAAGCCUUGAGUCAGAUGAGGUGUUUGAUGAACAAAUGAUCACCGCUGAGGAAGAGGAAGAGGAAUCGCCCACUGUAGGGCUGGGAGAAAAAGAAACUGGCAUCUCCGUGCAUGCCCUUAGCGGACAAAAUCAACAUGACACUAUCAAGGUACAAGGUGAAGUGGGAAGUAAGGUUUACCAUUCUGAUCGACACCGGGAGUAUACAUAGUUUCAUCGACUUCCAGGUAGCCAAGGAGGUCAAGGCGAGCAUGACAGCAACAACACCACUUACGGUCACCGUAGCGAAUAGGCUCAAGGUAUUAAGCAAACUCAAAUGUGCUAAUUUUAAAUGGACCAUGCAGGGAGAACAAUACCAGUUAGAAUUAAGGGUGAUAAGAUUGGAUGGCUCGAGUAUUAUCCUAGGAAUUGAUUGGUUGAAGGCGUACGGGAAAGUCACCUUUGACUAUGAUAACAACUCCGUUUCAUUCACCAAAGAGGGAAAGUAGAUGGUACUCAAAGGCAUAGCAGAAGGAUCGAAAACGGGGGACGCAAGUGCUGAACUGAAAUUUGUAACCGUGGCCCAAAGCCGGAUUGGAAGGGAGGUGUUGUGCAAUAGGACACUAUUACCCAGGGAAGCAAACAGAGGAGGGAGAAGUGAUACCCCCUCUGGUGCGACAGGUAUUAGAGCAAUAUAAAGAUGUAUUUCAGGAGCCAAGAGGACUGCCACUGAAAAGAGACCAGGAUCAUCAGAUUCCCCUGCAGCUCGAGGCUAAACCGGUCAAUGUGCGGCUCUACAGAUACACACAUGAGUAGAAGAAUGAAAUCGAGCGGCAAAUCAAAGAAAUGCUGCAAAACACAAUCAUCCAGCCUAGCACGAGUCCCUACGCAUCACCGGUAUUGCUAGUGAAAAAGAAGGACAAUAGUUGGAGGUUUUGUGUGGAUUAUAGGCAACUCAACAAGGCGACCAUCAAGGAUAAAUAUCCUAUUCCUUCAUUGAAGAUUUACUAGACGAACUAGAAGGCUCGAAGUAUUUUUCUAAAAUUGAUCUUAGAUCCGGAUACCACCAGAUAAGAAUGCAUACAAACAACAUACACAAGACGGCGUUCAAGGUGCACCGCGGCCACUACAAGUUCCUGGUUAUGCCUUUCGGGCUAACCAACGCACCUGCCACCUUCCAAGCCAUCAUGAAUGAAAUAUUCGAGCCCUACUUGCGCAAGUUCGUGCUGGUGUUCUUCGAUGAUAUACUUAUGUAUAGCAAGGGACUAGCGGAGCAUGCAGAUCAUUUAAAGAGAGUGCUGGAGACACUACGGAAGAAUCGCUUGUUUGCGAAAAGAAGUAAAUGCUUCUUCAGGCAAGAACAAGUCGAGUACCUCGGGUAUUUAAUAUCCGGCAAAGGGGUGGCCACCGAUCCCUCCAAGAUCGAGGCUAUGAAGAAUUGGCCCACCCCUGCGACAAUUAAGGAGUUACGAGGGUUCCUAGGGCUCACGGGGUAUUAUCAACGCUUCAUUAAAGGAUAUGGUGGUAUAAGCAAACCUUUAACCGAGUUGCUAAAAAAGGACAAGUUCAUAUGGAAUAAGGAAGCCGGGAGGGCUUUUGUGCGGCUCAAAGAGGUGAUGACUACCGCGCCCGUCUUAGCGAUGCCUAACUAUGCCAAGUCUUUCACCAUAGAGGUGGACGCUUGCGGACAUGGGAUCGGCGCGGUACUCACUCAAGACGGGCGACCUAUAGCAUAUAUUAGUAAGGCAAUAUGCCCGAGGAAUAUGGGGCUUUCAACAUAUGAAAGGAAUUCUUAGCCAUAUUGCUCGCGGUGACAAAAUGGAAACAUUACCUAAGUACUAGACCCUUCAUUAUCAAGACGGACCAUGAGAGUCUAAAGUAUUUGUUAGAGCAAAAGAUAAACUCGGCGAUCCAACAAAAAGGGAUGCUUAAAUUAAUUGGAAUGGAUUACGUCAUACAAUAUAAGAAAGGGAGAGAAAACAAGGCGGCAGACGCACUGUUAAGGAGAAAAAUGGAAGAAGGAUACAACCAUGCCGUGACGGCCAUUAUCCCUGCUUGCGUCCAAGAUGUUGUAGGAAGCUAUGAAGAAAAUGCUCAAGUUUAGCAGAUUAUCAAAGAGUUGCUACUAAAUCCCGUAUCACAGCAGGUGCGGAGCAUUAAAAAUUAAAAAUUAAAAAUAAAUAGCUACUAUUAAUUUCUUUCUUUACCUGUUAGAGGAGGAAAAGCGUGCGUGUAAUAACUGAGAUUUUUGAUUUAUUGAUUAAACCCUUUUGUUUGACGAUGUUCUUGUGUGUAAUAUAAUUAUAAGUGUACUCGUCAAAUUUCAGGAGAAAACAAGUUAAAACGGAGAAGUUACGCGACCCGGAAGUCUGACUUAAGUGAAUAGUAACUCCGGUUUUCCGGAGAGGCCGCGGAGUAGAGUGGACUUUCGACGCGUAUCGGACUCCGAAUAUAGCCUUCCAAUAGCUCGUUUUCAACCGCUCGACUAUCCUGAACCCAAUGGCACUGACGGAUUUGGAUUUGGAGGCACGGAUUUCGAGAAAAAGGGGUUUAGUGGGUUUUUGCAUAUAGUUGUCUAUAUGUGGUUUUUGGUGGAACCUAGGAGGGAUGGUUUUGUCGCAAAUCGGNAAUAGUAAAUAAAAGUUAGUUAUCGUAAAGAGUAGUAACCAUCGAGCGCACCAUAUUCCGAUGCUUAAGGUAAAAUUACAGAAAAAGUAGUCAAUCUUUGAAAAGCUUUUUCUCUUCUUCACUUUAUAAUUCUAAAACAAAAGCAGACAGCAAAUGAAGUAAUCAGCAUUCGUACAAACUUGGUGCAUUCAAAACGAUAAACUUUCUUGCAAUUUGCAAUCAUUUGGAAAAUGACAGAGCCACGAAGUCAGGUUCAAAUUUUUCUGAUCUCCAGCGAGUAGGUCUUUGUUUACCACCAUAUUUCCAUUUUCUUUUAGUGUUUUCAUUUCGAUACCCCCAAGGCUGCAGCAACUGACAUAUGACCAGCCAACCUGCCAUGCCAUUUGGAAUGGAAGAAGAAUGUAUGGAGAAACUAACUAUUAACUCAGGCAAAUGUUGCUGUAGGAGAAGCAGGCCCGUCAGGGAGUUCUUCUCAUCAUCACAGCCUUAUAUCACAGGGCAAGGAAAAAGACUAAAACCCAAAACAAAAACAAAGGAAAGCAAAGUGGCAGUAAUGAAUAACCAGGAUAGCCAAAAGCAAACAAUGUAGCAAAGAAUCAAAUGAAACAAUACAUCACAAAUAUUAGGGGACGGAGGACAAGAAAAAAAACUAAAGUCCAAAACAAAAUAAAGGAAAGAAAAAGAAAAAUAGCAAAUAACCAAGAUAGCCGACAGCAAGGUUCAGAUUUGUGGAUCCCCUAAAGCAAAAGGGUAUGAUAACUAUUGUGCGUAUCUCUACAAUAAUAUUCGUAGGCUAUAGCGAUUGCCCCAGGGCCGUUCGUUAUGCCAUGCCAUUAUGAACAGAUUCAGUAAAAUUGUCCAUAUCAUCAUAACCUCGCACGAAAGGGCAGCAAGAGCAACACUAAAUAGGCGAGGAACUUAAAGAAUUCCCCAGCAUCACAAACAUCCAACAUAGUGAAACAAAAUAAUUAUGCAGAUGCAUUCCCACAAACCGGAGCCCAAACAGUAACAAAACAAAAUUAAGAACUUGUGGCUUUUCCUAACGGCAAAUAAAAAAAACUGUAAUAGUUAAAAAAGUGUAUAAAGCAGAAUUCAUGUCAUGCAUCUGAAAUGACCAACAAAUAUAAAAAAGGUAGAGUGAGCAGUAAAUAGCAGGCACAUAUGUGCUUAUUAGCAAUCCCUCUAAAGGAAUCUGGCUUCCUUCCAGAAGAUGAAUUUCCUAAUAAUGAGCCAAAGCUGUUGGUUUCUUCAAUAUUUGGACUGAAGCAACCGUUGCCUGCAUUAAGAAAUAUUCAACUAAUUUAACUUACCUUAAACUUCAAAUAGAGGUCAGAGAAAGAAAAAAGCUAAAAGGCUUUUGACAAUUUCAUGCAUUUCAGACACAAAUAUCAUCUCAUUGCUUAAAUUAAUAGCUAAAAGGCAUCAAUUAUACAUAUUUACUUCUACAUCUACAAUAACAAAAAACGUUAAAAAAAAAAAAUCUAACUUUUUUUAGGUUUCUCAUCAAUUUCUCAACAAAAGGGCAAAACCCACAACAUCAAAUCACAAAACCACAUAAGAAAACACAAAUAUUAGGCGUUUUCGCUGCAUGUAAUUGACUGCAGAUGGAUUUCUCAACCAAAAAAUUCGAAAAAAAUGUAAUGCCGGCGGGAAGAAGUGGGAAAAGAAGGAGAAGAGUAGGGUAGAGGUCAAGAGAUCUGACAGGAUCUAUGUCAGUCAAAGUGGGGGCAUAAGUAAAUAAAAUCUAAGUUAAACGGAGCGGGCACAUGACGAGUGGAGCGGGUAACUAACCGGUGGAACCCAAUUCGCCAACUUAACUAGGCGGAUCAAGGAGCCCAGAUCCACUUGCAGAUUGGGCCCAGAUCAGUCCAUUACUAUUUGCUUACUUGUUUUACAGUUUAAACCUUUAUCUUUCUGUAAUUACAUUUCAGUACGUAAUAGGGGAGGUAUAAGUAGAAUUGUAAUGGAAUUAGAGGACGGCAAUGAAAUAGUAAUAUCUUCUUUCCCAAUUUCUCCUUCUCAUUCUCCUCUCCUUCUCCUCUUUCCCCUUCUCAAUUCCUCAUCUAUCUCCCACUUUAUCUCCUUCUCCAACUUCAAUUCUUCAUCUGAAUGUUAUUGAUUUUACCUUGAUUGCCGCGGCAUCAUUAGUAGUAAUCCCCAUCAUUCCCGUCGCCGUUCUCGCCUCAACGAAUCCUCAUCAUAGGCGGGUUGCAUCAGGUCCAGGAUACUACAAUUUGGUAUCAAAGCGGCGAGAUCCGAGGGAAGGGACAGUGAAUUGCGAGCUAAAUUCCGACCCAAGUGGUUGUUGAAUUGGCAAAGCAAAUAGCAUCCGAGCUAUGGAGCUCCCCUGAGGGUCGAGUUUCAACAAAGGGUGCCACUGUUCCGGCAAUAGUGAGCUUAGAAGUUACCUGCCCACUCGCGAGCCACUGUGGUAAGCCGAAUUGGGGUGAAAGGAUACUGCUUCUGGUCCAAGUCUUUCGUCGAACACCUGGCAUUCAGUCCGUGACAAUAGGUGCAAAGAAGGGAAACCGUUUUAAAUUUCAUAGUAAGAAGCUCCUGGAAGAGGUUGAUAUGGCCGAGGGAACAAGACUGAGAGAGAUGAGCGAGCACAUCAAUGCUCUGGAAGAAAUGAGGCAACAGUUUACAGUAGAGUACAAUAACAAGGUUGAGGAAGAGUUACAGCAAUUCAGUAUGGAUUGUAGUAAGAAGAUUGGGAUCCUUGCACAACAACUCGAUGAGAUACAACAAGACGAGCAGCAACGGUACGAGGCUCUGCAACUUGAAGCAGCUAGGAGAUAUGAAGCGAUGUUGCAAGAGAAUGCUCGGAGGCACGAGCAGUUGCUGCGGUUAUUCAUUGCUCAAGCACAACCAUCUAGCCCACAACCUGAAGACCACUCCACGGCGAGCAAUCCCUUACUGGUGAGCAAGGAAGGGAGACAACCUCUGGGUGCUCAACCCGGGGUAAGUGCAAUUCGAAUGCCAGGGGAGGAUAAAGGGAAAGGGUUGCUGCCCAGUCCCCAUAGGCAAUUGGAGCGAACUGAGGAGCAUCAAGGACGAACAACUCCAUACAUUUCAUACUCAAAACUCGAAUUUCCAAUAUUUAGUGGAGAGGAGCCCAGAGAAUGGAGUAGAAAAUGCGAGAAAUAUUUCUGAAUCUACCAAAUUCCAGAACCGCAGUGGGUAGAAGUGGCAACUACGCAUUUCAUAGGAAGAGCACGUCGCUGGAAGGAAGGUUAUCUCGUAGACAAACCGAACAUCCUGUGGGACGAGUUUGUGGAGGCGGUCUGGAGAAGAUUUGGAGGAUCAGUAGCUCAAAGGAUGGUGAGAGAAUUCAACAAGCUAACACAAACUGGCACUGUAGACAAAUAUCAUGAAAGGAUUGAAGAAUUGAGAGCUCGAAUGCUAUACCUCAAUCCCAGGCUUAGCGAGCAACACUUUAUUGAGAGUUAUAUCAGCGGCUUGAAGGAGGAGCCAGUGCCUUUCAUUGACCUUUCCCACCUAACCACACUCGAGGAAGUGUAUGAACAAGCGAGGUUAAACGAACAAGCAUUGUCUAUUAUUAUGAGAAAGAGUAGGGUCAAUUACCGAACAGCAUGGAAUAUAUAUCAGGGAAACAUUACUCAGAAGAUCGCUGCCCCGGGGGUGGAGAACAAACCUAACUACCAGAAAAGAGGCAACUCACAGCCGGGAAUGGACCGACAACUGUUCGAGCAAAGGAAGGCCGCUAGAUUGUGCUUUAGAUGCGGAGAGAAAUACUACCCCGGGCAUCAGUGCACUAACCGAACCUUGAUUCUCAUAAAUGCAAGCCUUGAGCCAGAUGAGGUGUUCGAUGAACAAAUGAUCACCGCUGAGGAGAGGAAGAGGAAUCGCCCACUGUAGGGCUGGGAGAAAAAGAAACUGGCAUCUCCGUGCAUGCCCUUAGCGGACAAAAUUAGCAUGACACUAUCAAGGUACAAGGUGAAGUGGGAAGUAAGGUAGUUACCAUUCUGAUCGACACCGGGAGUAUACAUAGUUUCAUCGACUUCCAGGUGGCCAAGGAGGUCAAGGUGAGCAUGACAGCAGCAACACCACUUACGGUCACCGUGGCGAAUAGGCACAAGGUAUUAAGCAAACUCAAAUAUGCUAAUUUUAAAUGGACCAUGCAAGGAGAACAAUACCAGUCAGAAUUAAGGGUGACAAGAUUGGAUGGCUCGAGUAUUAUCCUAGGAAUUGAUUGGUUGAAGGCGUACGUGAAAGUCACCUUUGACUAUGAUAACAACUCCAUUUCAUUCACCAAAGAGGGGAAGUAGAUGGUACUCAAAGGCAUAGCAGAAGGAUCAAAAAUGGGGGACGCAAGUGCUGAACUGAAAUUUGUAACCGUGGCCCAAUGGUAUAGAGCCGGAUUGGAAGGGAGGUGUUGUGCAAUAGGACACUAUUACCCAGGGAAGUAAACAGAGGAGGAAGAAGUGAUACCCCCUCUGGUGCGACAGGUGUUAGAGCAAUAUGAAGAUGUAUUUCAGGAGCCAAGAAGACUGCCACCGAAAAAAGACUAGGAUCAUCAGAUUCCCUUGCAGCUCGAGGCUAAACCGGUCAACUUGCGACCCUACAGAUACAUACAUGAGUAGAAGAAUGAAAUCGAACCGCAAAUCAAAGAAAUGCUGCGAAACACAAUCAUCCAGCCUAGCACGAGUCCCUACGCAUCACCGGUAUUGCUUUUGAAAAAGAAGGACAAUAGUUGGAGGUUUUGUGUGGAUUAUAGACAACUCAACAAGGCGACCAUCAAGGAUAAAUAUCCUAUUCCCUCAUUGAUGAUUUACUAGACGAACUAGAAGGCUCGAAGUAUUUUUCUAAAUUUAUCUUAGAUCCGGAUACCACCAGAUAAGAAUGCAUAUAAACAACAUACACAAGACGGCGUUCAAGGCGCACCGCGGCCACUACGAAUUCCUGGUUAUGCCUUUCGGGCUAACCAACGCACCUGCCACAUUCCAAGCCAUCAUGAAUGAAAUAUUCGAGCCCUACUUGCACAAGUUCAUGCUGGUGUUCUUCAAUGAUAUACUUGUGUAUAGCAAGGGAUUAGCGGAGCAUGCAGAUCAUUUAAAGAGAGUGCUGGAGGCACUACAGAAGAACCGCUUGUUUGCGAAAAGAAGUAAAUGCCUCUUAAGGCAAGAACAAGUCGAGUACCUCGGGUAUUUAAUAUUCGGCAAAGGGGUGGCCACCGAUCCCUCCAUGAUCGAGACUAUGAAGAAUUGGCCCACCACUGCGACAAUUAAGGAGUUACUAAGGUUCCUAGGGCUCACGGGGUAUUAUCAACGCUUCAUUAAAGGAUAUGGUGGUAUAAGCAAACCUUUAACCGAGUUGCUAAAAAAGGACAAGUUCAUUUGGAAUAAGGAAGUCGGGAGGGCUUUUGUGCGGCUCAAAGAGGUGAUGACUACCGCGCUCGUCUUAGCGAUGCUUAACUAUGCCAAGUCUUUCACCAUAGAGGUGGACGCUUGCGGACAUGGGAUCGGCGCGGUGCUCACUCAAGACGAGCGACGUAUAGCAUAUAUUAGUAAGGCAAUAUGCCCGAGGAAUCUGGGGCUUUCAAUAUAUGAAAAAAAAUUCUUAGCCAUAUUGCUCGCGGUGACAAAAUGGAAGCAUUACCUAAGUACUAGAACCUUCAUUAUCAAGACGGUCCACGAGAGUCUAAAGUAUUUGUUAGAGUAAAAGAUAACAUUGACGAUCCAACAAAAAGGGAUGCUUAAAUUAAUGGGAAUGGAUUACGUCAUACAAUAUAAGAAAGGAAGAGAAAACAAGGCAGCAGACGCACUGUCAAGGAGAAAAAUGGAAGAAGGACACAACCAUGCCAUGACGGCCAUUAUCCCUGCUUGCGUCCAAGAUGUUGCAGGAAGCUAUGAAGGAAAUGCUCAAGUUUAGCAGAUUAUCAAAGAGUUGCUACUAAAUCCCGGAUCACAGCAAGGUGCGAAGCCUUAAAAAUUAAAAAUUAAAAAUAAAUAGCUAGUAUUAAUUUCUUUCUUUACCUAUUAGAGGAGAAAAAGCGUGCAUUGUAAUAACUAGGAAUUUUUUUUGAUUUUUGAUUUAGAUAAACCUUUUGUUUGACCGAUGUUCUGUGUAGUAUUAUAAUUAUAGUGUACUCGCAAAUUUCAGGAGAAAACAAGUCUAAAACGGAGAAGUUACGGCGACCCGAGAGUCUGACUAAUGAAUAGUAACUUCGGUUUUCCGGAGAGCCGCGGAGUAUAUGACUUCAGACCGUAUACGGACUCCGAAUAUAGCCUUCCAAUAGCUCUUUCAAACGCUGACUAUCUGACCCAAUGGCACUGUGACCGGAUUUUGGAUUGGAGCACGGAUUUCGAGAAAAGGGUUUUAGUGUUUUUGCAUAUAGUUGUUAUAUGUGGUUUUGGUGGAACGAUAGGAGGGAUGUUUUGUUCGAAAUCCGGAAUCUUUCGGUGGCGAAAACGAGGUGCUUAGAUUCGAUGCCUCUGUCGUGCUGUAUCGCGCUGGUGCUAUGAUUCCGAUGGAAAUCUUCGAACCGACGAGAUCUCGGGGAAUCGCGAAAGUCCGCGAAGGGGCUGAUUUGAAUAAUCGGAUUAUCGCGAAAAGGCACUAUAUUAUGCGUCAAUGUCAGUAUUCGAACUAGAGGACUAUCUGCACUUGUGCGAGUCUGCUCUGGUGAGAGCUGGGAUUUAAGGUCGACUCCUUUCGGAGUGGGGUGGGGGUUUCCGCAAGUUUCCAUACUAAUAUAGGUGGAUCAUAAGGGUUUGGGACCUAACCCUAACCUAGAACCGCCAGCGCCUGUCAUCCCAGCACCUCCCUGCCCGCCGCCGGUGCUCGUCGUUCGCGGCCGCCGAAACAGCCUUAGUCCAGGUUUGCCUUCUCUCUUGGACCACCUCACCACCGGCUUAAAAUUUGGUGCUUGGUGAGCGCUUGUUAUCCAAGCAACCACUUUCCUGGUCGAGACCUUCCUCAGGCCGCCCUCUCCCGCCGCCCCGCACGCCCGAGCUCGCGAGCCUGCCGGAAGAGGCUGCAGCCAGGCCGGGUCUGGCCCAGACCUCCGAGCCAGGCCCGACUCAGGUUUGGCGGCCUUGGGACCGCACUUCCCUGCGGCCCAAAGCCCCCUGUCGCACCCCGCUGGCGAUCUCCCUGCAACCCGGCGCGUUGCGUCCCCGCCGGCCCCGCGAUGCUGCGCUCGGCCUCGCGGCUGCAGCCAAGGCUCCCGCCGCCGCUCAGGUCCUGUAGGGCCGACCUUGAGCCGGCGCCACUCCCAAGACGCCGCCAUUACCCCCCUGAGGUGGCACCACCUCCUCCUCCGUCUCCGCCACCGGACAUCGCCCCGGCCGACCUCCCCCGAUCGCCGCCGUCGCUGCCGCAAGCUCCAACCCGAGAGGAAGUCACGGCCCGUUCUCCGCCGCCGCGCCACGGCUGCUGCCGCCGCCGCAGACACCUCCUCCCGGACCUCCCUCGACCUGCUGCUCCCAUCCCCGCGGCGAGUGCCCGCCGUCCGAUCGCCGCGGCCAUCCUAGCUCCACAGCUCCGUGAGUUAGUUACUUUUGGUCCAGCACUCGCUGUUUUGCGUUCACGGUCACUGUCCGUGAUUCCGAUUGACUCCCUGGCACCUCGGAGGUGAGCACGGUGAUCGUGGCUCGUGCUGAACACGGUGAUCGUGGGCUCGUGUUGAAACACGAUGCUCACCUCCAUUAGUAGACGGUGCCUGGUUAAGUGAGAAAAGGAUUUUUUCACAGUAUGCGCACUGAUUCGCUGAGGUUCCGCGUCGCUCGUAGCGCGCGUGGUUCCUGCGGACAGUGCUCCGAAAGGUGAGCACAGCCCAGGCAGCUGAAACCUUGCAGCAAGUGGCAAUGGUAACCUCCACGAUCCCUGGUUUGCUGGUACACCCGUUAAAGCCAUGAAAUCACAUAAAAUAAUGUGAUUUCAUGAGCCAUUAGGGAUCCGUUUGCGUUUCGCUUCGUCGUGGCUGCUGUUGGCAGCAGGUAAAGGCUUAAGAUAACCUCUGGACUGUCGUCCAAGGCCCAAGCCUUUGCGAAAAUCUAUCGGUCAUUUCCGACAUUUUUCGGCGAAAUCCGCCGAUAGAACGCGCGUUCGACUCGGAAUUCAUCCGACGGUGCCUCGUGGUUGACUGUAGCGUCGCUGAGCUUGUGCUGGUCACCCGUCGUCCGAGGUUCAGAACGACGGGUAGCGAUCGGUGGAUGUUCCGGUACGUUUUUUUCGGGACUUCCGGCUGGUUCGGAAGUUGGCGUUUGAAAACCGAUUUCAGUGGGGUUAUGAUUUGGGAUUUGUGUGAGAAUGGUCGGUUAUUGUGUUCGUGGUUAGACUCUAACUCGGUGGACCCUUCGUAGGUCCGCGUCGCUUCGUCUACCCCUUAGCGAGACCAUUUCAGCUUUAUACAGGUGGGUACUUCGAUCCGAAUCGGUACAGCGUGCACUGUGUGGGGCCCUCGGUGAUGUCUUCAUUUACCGCUAUCUUUUACAUCGUCUAUUCAUAUUGUUUACUCAUUACAUAUUGAGCCCUUGCACCAUACUGCUUUUAUUUACUCUGCCCGUUGUCCUAUGCGUAGUAUCUGUAGGGGUAGAGUAGAUGCAUUAGUAUAUACUAACCAUGUGACUGAUUGUCGUUUCCUGUUGCAUCGUGACCUAUUUGGUCGUUCACACUACUUACUGUACUUUGACUAUUCGGUCGAUUCACUUUGUACUGAUGACCUAUACGGUCGUGUCGGCUGGUUGCCGACGGUUGUCAUAUGAGCAUAUCAGCAUCGAUCGUCACCACUCGUUCGCAUUUCACGAACCCACAGCGGUCUGAUCCACCGCAGGGGGUGUUCUUUCCGGAAAAGUGUUGGGUUGCCCACACCGUGAGCUCAGAGGUUACGGCUGGUAUAUGCAGGUUGAGUGAUUGUGGCAUUAGCCUGAGGUCCUCCGGACCAACAAGGCAGUUUAGAUUGGUAUCCUUGGACUAUCCACCAGUUGAUGCAUACAUACAGUAGCAGUAGUUCAUUACUUGUACAUCAGUUCCUUACUUGUACUUUCUGUUCUUAUAUCAAGUAGCUACUGUAGUUGUUUACCUUUACUGUUUCUUAGGCCUCCUUUCGCUGGUGCGUACCCUCGGCCCAUCGUCGCUUGCGACCCACUGGAGGGGAGACAUGUUAACAUGUUCUCAACCCCCCCGCCCCAUUACAGUGAACGUCGCAGGUCCGAGGGGACGGCAUGAGGAGCGAGUCUACGCAGCGUUAGAGCUCCGCCGUCUGUAUCUUUUUUCCUUUGCUGAAUAAAUAGUAAACUUUCAUUACGGUUCAGUUUCAUUCGGUACUUGAAUAUUCAGUUUUCUGCUGGGUUUUCGUGAUAAAAAGAGAUUUAUGGCUUUUCAAGUAAAUGGUUUUCUACCCUCUCGGUAGCGCUUGUUUUAAAAAAGAAAAAGUGUUUCAUAUUCGAUACUGUUUCGAUGGUUUUCUACCUCUCGUGGUGGCGUUUUAAAAGAUAAAGGUUUCUGUGUGGGAAACAAUUUUAAAAAAAGGAGCAUUUCAAUGGAUUUCUGAGACUUAGCAUUUCAAAACUCGUUUCCGAUGUGAAACAUUUCAAAUGAUAGUUCGGAUUUAUGUUUAAAAACUUGGAAUACUGUCGCGUUGUAAUGUUGAAUGUAUGAACGUCUGCAUGUGCAGUUGAGAUUGUGUGUUCAUAUGGUUGUGUUGUAUUCUGGUUGUACUCUGAUUGUUAGCUGUACUUGUGCGACGCGUGCAAAUACAGGGGAGACUCUGUCCGUUGUGAACAGUGGAUUUCCCUGUAAUUGUGGCGGAUCUGACAACCUCUGGGUCAGGUGUUUUUAAAAAAAAAAAAAAAAAAAAAAAAAUUAGUCGUUUCGCUGUCUUCCAAACCGAAAAGGGACCCAGGCGUGACAGUGCGCGCCUCUCCGGCCAUCGCAGGGUGCGGAGCAGUAGGGAAGGGGUAGCAAGGGUACAACGUCGGCGAGAGAUAAGUAAAGCGAGUGCUCGACGGCGGUCGCGACCGUGGUCUGUUUAGAAAACUCAUCUACCAAAUACUAUUGCCAACAAAUAAUAUAUCGAGAACAUAGCAAAAGAUUCAUUUUCAAAUAAAAUUUUGAAACCUUAAUUUCUCAAUUUAGAAAUAGAAAACUAAAUUUUAGAAAAUUUAGAACAUAAAAAUAUCUUCAAGUUCAAAGUACAAACCAGUACUUAAGUUCUAAAUAAAUUUUCCUACGGCUUCAACUUGAAUUUAUUUCCUCUCUGUCUAAUUAAAAUCCUUUCAUUUGGCUUUAACAUCAUUAGGUUGUGAAACCCUGCAUGUAUUUGAAAAUGUACAGUAGUUCAAGUCAAUCUACCAUGUGUUUUUAGGAACAUUAACUAAAUGAGAUUUCAUAAUAAAUAUAGAUAUUUCAAUGCUUUCUUUCAAGACAAACUUUAUAGGAGCUAACAAACAUGCUCCUCAAUGGCCGUUAGGUAAUCCUUGGCUUUAUCACAUUCUGGAAUUGAUCCCCUUAUGCUUUUUGAUACUCUAGACUUUAUGAGCAUCAAACUUAAGCUGUUGGAUCGCUCCUACUUUUCCUGCGCGGAUUCCUGCUGUGGAGUCAUUGGCCCCACUGCCUUAGGCGAUUGCUCAACGCACAGAGCCAAAUCUAAAUCCAUAUAACCCAAAGUAAAAGAAAUAAUUUCUUUUCAAUCAGAAUAAUUGUCCCCAGUAAGCAUAGGAAUACGAGAAACAUCAUUAAGAAAUGCAGUAGAGGAAGAAGCUGCAAAAACAAAGAAAAUAUUGAACUUUAUCGCCUACUAUAAGAUAAUAAUCUUUAGAUUAGAUAAAUUCUACCUUCCUGUGGGCAGAGGUGCUACACGCAUAGAAUUCAUCUACUUUAAUAAUAAGACUAGCAGAAAACUAAUUUCUAAACAACAAGAUUUCUGUACCUGUGGGCAUAGGAAAACUCGCUAUCUAGAAAUUCAAUCCACUAUCUUAUUCCAGUCAACAUUCAGAAAAUUAAUUUAUUUGACUGCAAUAAAUAGUCAAACUUUAAUUCAAUAUCACUAAUAGCUUAUAUAUUUUUCAUUAUCUAUAGGAUGCUGUGGCUACUCCUGAGCAUAAUGAAAAAUACAAAUAACCUUAUUUGACAUUGAAUGACUAUUUAAAAAUAAAUUAGGAAUCCAUAUGAAUUUUCGGGUUAACUUUAAAUCAAUAUCAUCUUAUAAAAAUAUCAUAAGUGAUCAAAUAUCAUGACUAUGAUACUGUGGCUACUCUUAGACAUAAUUAAUCUCGCAUUAACCUUUAUAUGAUAUUGAAUGACCGAAAAUUUCACAUUAUUCCAAAACACAACGGAAAGAUAAAGGUCCAAAGUAAUUUUCUUUACAAUUUUAUGUGACUCAAAAUUUAAAAAAAAAACUGUAUGAAGUCUAUAUUCUCUACUCUUAAAUUUUUAUGAUCACCUUAUAUAUAUUUAGAGUAAUAAUGCAAAAAUAUAUCGUAAGAUAUUAAACUAAACAUACUACUUUAUAUCAUGAAUAAACAAACAAGUAGAACAGAAAUUAUAUAUAACAAAUACCAAAAGUUAUACAUAACUUUAAUAUAUUGACUUCUAGAUAAUCGAGUCACAAAAGAAAAUUAUAAACCGAAAUUAUAAAUAUAUAUAUACAUAUAUAUAUUUAUAUCUUAUCCUUAUUCAUUAAGAAAAAUAAAUAAAUACCCUUUUUGAUUGGACUGCUACCUCAGGCAGCCCCAUGCGAGGCUGCAUUGUACGGUCAACAACAAUGGCCCUUUUGAUUACUUUGACCGCCACCUAGGCAGCUCCAUUACGGACUGCCUAGUGCGGCCCCUUGUGGGCCGCGCCUAUUGCGUCCGGAAGGCGUGGUGGCGCGAGUCUGCCACGCCUCCCGAUCUUCUUUUUUUUUUUAAUGCUACAUGCGGUCCUUGAGAGUCGCCUGACGCAACCGUGAGAGCAGCGCAAUCCGGCCGAAACGCCGAACACCGAUUCUUAUGGUCAAUAAAUCUUGCCGCUAAUUUUUUAUUUUUUUUUAAUCGCUUGAUGCGGCCCGUCCGUGACGUCGUUUCUCCGAACGCCGAUCUCGAUUGAGGCCAGCCGACGUCACCAUUAACGCAAACCAAUCGGUGAAUAUAUUUAUUUAUUUUUCUUUAAUGAAAAGGAAUCUUAAAGAAACGAAAAUCAGGGAAAAGGUUUAGCUCUGAUACCACAUGUUAGAAACUUUAUAAGAAACUAGAUCGUACCUUCUGCCAUGAUUUCGAUUUCUGUACCCGAUUUGUAAGCGGCAAUCCUUAUUCGUGGUUCGUCCUCGUAAAUAAUCUGCAAGAAGACGGGACGUUUCGAGUCUAAUUCCCUUAUCCCCGGAGAUGGAGUCGUCACAAACAAUUAGAUUAGGGGUAGACCGGGACUCCCGUAUGUUACAUAUUUAUAUAUAACUUAAUGUAAGGACUUAAAUAGAUUGACCGUAAGGACUUAAAUCACGUCCGUCCAUCAAAGACGUGUCCAGAUAUAUCCUAACCAUAAGAUCUAAAAUAUCUUUAUAGAUCGACUUAAAUAGAUUGACCGUAUCUCUAUGGAUCGCCUUGAAUAUAUCACGUGGGCCACAACCAACAUGGUCGAGAUGAGCGCGGCGGACGAGGUGAGUGUAGCGGCAUCGGCGGCGGCCGAGGUGAGUGCGGCGGCGUCGGCGGCGGCCGAAGUGAGUGCGGCGGAGGAGGUGGCGGCCAAGGUGAGUGUGGAGGCGAUAAGGAAAGGUAAACCCUACUUUUUGGGGUUGUGGAGAGGGUGGAGAUUGGAGAGAAAGGAGACUAUGAGAAAGAUGGAAAAAAAAAAAAGGUGGGUUAUGUGAGUGGAGAAGCAGCCCGAAAAGUGGAGUUUUAUUUUUAAGAGAAAAUUUUGAAUUUCAUUUUUAUCCUAUUUUUUGUGGUAUAGUUAAGAUAGUUAUACCCUAUUUUAUUGGUAUGUUUUUAAACCAUCUAUACACUAUUUAGAAAAAUUUUCCUACCAGUAUAGUUGCUAAAAAAUAAUAAUAAUAAUAAUAAUAAUAAUAAUAAUAAUAAUAAAGUAAGCAUCUAAACAGCCGUAACCGGGUCGACCGCAACCCCCCUUCACGAAGGCCGUCGCCAACUUCUCCGCCCUCGACUACUUCCGCUUCUCCACCAUCACCGCCGUCUCCGUCACCGGCGGUUACCUCUCAGGUUCCCCCCCUCUCCUCCUCCUCCGCACCCUUCGCAUCCGCAUUAGGAUUAGGGUUAGGGUUAGGGUUAGGGUUUCUAAUUGGGUUUUGGAUUGGGGGAUGGCGCAGGGAUCAAGCCGAGCAUCCGAGGGCCGUCCAUGGUGAGUGGGGUACUGAUAGGGAUCAUGGGCGGGUUCAUGUACGCGUACCAGAACUCGGCGGGUCGGCUCACGGGCUUCUUCCCCAACGACGCCGAGGUCGCCCGCUACAGGAAGAAGUAGAGCGCCCCGUCGUCGUCGCCGCCGCCGCCGCCAACACCUGUAAUUUCCUCAAUUUCCUCGCGCUCUUUCGAUUCGGCUUGAAUAAAAUGUGAACUCAGGCUUCUUUGAUCCGUCGCGGGGUGUUUGUUGCUGAAUUUUGUAAUGGUGCUGAUUUGGGGAUGUUUGAUCAGAGUGAGCUCUGAUUUGUUUGUGACCGGCUUUUGGAUUAGCAUAUCCUCAUUUAUCUCACAGUUACUUCCUCAAAUCUUUCACUUUAAGUUUUGAUUUCAUAUGUAAUGCAGUAAAAAAUCUUAAGAUUUAUAGUUUAUUGUGCUUGAGGAACAUAAGGGUUUAAGGUGGAUGAGGCAACAGAUGCAAGAGAUCAUAUUUUGGUGAUCUUUUGCGAUUCAUGAGUCUGUAAAAUCCUUAAAAUAAGUUACAAAACUGUAAAGUUGAAAUAACCUACUCUUUUGGAUUUGGGUAGGAAAUAUAUAUCUUAUCUGCAUAAUGGUGUAGAAACUCAUUGAGUUUGGUUGAAGUUUUCUAUCUCCAUGAUUACGCAAUUCUAUUUCUACUAAUUUCACUCUCUUCGCAGACAAAAAAUCAAGCAGAAUAAAUCCUUGUUUUCAGCUUAUCCCCAGAGCAGAAACCUCUGACUAGACUUUGUUUAGCAUCUACUUUCUUUUGUGGUUCUUGAUUUGUUGCUAUUGUUUUGCUCGAGAUUAGCUGAGUACAAAAGUAUCUGCAGCUUCAAAAAAUUGAAAAAUUGUGUUCCUUUAAGCUUUGGUAAUGAAUGAUUUGGAAGAUCUUUAUCAAGGAAACAUUGAUGUUUUGGUUCAAAGAAAUUAAGAUUUUUUAUUGGAAAUGUAUUGUUAGAUGGAUAAGCCUUGGAAUGUUUUCUAUCUUAGGUAUCUCAAUUAGCGUAUCCAUUUCUAUUUGACCUCUCUUUCCUCAUAGAAAACUAAGGGUCCAUCCUUCAUACCUUUCCAGUUACAUGGGAAAUUAACAACUCUUUGACAAUUGAAAGUAUCGAGUUGUAAUAUUACUAGGAACAACUUUAACAUUAUAACUAAUGCAUAUGAUUCUGCUCUUUGAGCAUUAGUUGAACGAUUGGAUAGAAGCAAAUCACUGUGUGGUUGAAAACUUAUUCACUUGAGCACAAGCAACAAAGAGGCAUCUUUAGAGAUAAAAGCAGUAUGGUCAUUUGGUCGUAUAUUGUUUAUGAUUAUUGUCUGCCAUAGAGUACCUUAGCGAAGGCAUCUUUAGGCAUUGAUCAGGGUACGUUUGCUUCGUUUGUUUGGAAACUUACACAAAAUAGAAAAAAAGAAGAAAAGAAUUUAAGGGGGAAAGAAAAGUGGUCUUACCUCAGAGCACAAAAGAAAAUAAGUGUAAAUCCUACAUCUCACUCAUCCAAUGGGUGGAUUUUCUCCACUAAUCACCUCCAUGCGACAGGUGAAAACACCUCAUCCAUUAGAUGGAUGGGGCAUAAGUUAUACAACUACAAAAUGGAGUGUAUAGGUAGCAUUAUUUAUAAAAUAUUUUGUGGAGGCUAAAUGUAAAAAAAAAAAAGAAAAAAAGAAAGUAUUUUGGUUGGGUAAAUUACAUAGAAAGUAUCUAACCUUUUACCCAAGUUUUAAUUUGUAUCCCCAACCAUCUAAUUAUUAUACCUUUUACCCAAGUUUUAAUUGUGUCGCCAACCUUCUAAUUAUUAUAAUUAGAUACUUAAUCUCUUCAAGUUAUCUAGAUUAGGCCUGGUCUUGUUGCAAACUCCGUUAAGUGGGGUAAGUUAAAUGAUUUCAUUUUUUUUUUUUAAAUUCGCGAGAUCAAACCAAACUAUAUCACUAAAUAAAUCAUACUGCGUCAAUCAAAAUAAGUCAUCCUCCGUCCUCAACGUAAAUGGCAAAGAACUUAAUAGUUGGUACCCGAGGUACCAAAUUUGAAGUCUUGUUGCAUAUUUUUAGUUAAGUCCAUUUUUAAUAAAAAAUAUGAACGAAGCGGAUGACAUGCUACCAUUCUCUCCCAAAAAAAAGAAAAAAAAGUCUGCACAAUUCGAGCGAGUUACAUUUUUCAAUAUUUUUUGGAUUAAUUUCAUACAGUUCCCUGUAAACAUAUCAAAUUGCAAAUAUAUUCCUACAAAGUUCAACUUUUCAUAUUUAUCCUUACAAAAGUCCAAUGAUAUUCAUAUUUAUCCCUCUGGUUUGUUACCGUUAGAGUAUUUACUAUUUAUUUUUUAAAAGAAAAUAAGUGAAAUGACAUUUUUGCCAUUACAAAUAUGUCUCUCCAAAAGCUUCAAUUGUUAGAAUUAUGCAGAAAUGUUCUCCCAAAAAUUUUCAACAGUCAUUUUCUUUCUUUCUAUGAUCACAAAUAAUAUAAGAGCGGUAGAAAGGUCAAUUUACCUCAUUUACUAAUUAGGGUUAAGUAUUUUACUUAUAGUUAACUAUAUUUUUCUAGUGGAUCCUAACAGCAUGGGUAUACGUGAAAACGUUAGGAUAUUUGUAGGAAUAAAUAUGAAAAGCUAAACUUUGUAGGAAUAUAUCUGUUAUUCGAUAUAUUUACAGGGAGCUGUAUGUAAUUUAUCGUUUUUUUUUACCAGUUACUACUUGAUUCGGGCUGGCAGGAGCUCCACCAAUCCAAAUCCGUUUGCAUCCCUACUUGUCCCCCAACUCGAGUCCCCCUUCCUCUGCGGCCCCCAGACCCAACCUAACCCAUCGCCUUUCCAUGGCCGGAGAGGAGCCGCCAUUCUUUCCUCCACCGACUGGUAACAACCCUCUCGUUUUUUUUUUUAUUUAUCAUUGGUUGUUUUAAUCAUAUGGUUCAGUGAAAUUGGAAUCAUUUGUUUUGUAAAGUCGAAUUAGUUUCGACUUUGCUUGUAUGGUAUUUCUCACACAAAGCAUUUCUCUUACAUGACUACAUCUUUGAAUGGUGAAAAGCAAAAUUGAUUGGUAGAGAUUUUGUUAAUACUCUUCACCUAUUGUUUUAGUUUUCGAAUUUGGAGCUAUCUAGUAGCUCGUUUUUUAAAAUUUGAACUCUCUAGCGGCUAAUUUUUUAAGAUUGUCCGAAAUUCUAUGUGUUGGAAUAAGAAUGUGGUAGAAACUUACAAACUGGAUAACCAACGUAUUCAGAAACUGAAAUCGGAUUGGGUUGCUUAUUUUGUUAACAUUUUUAGAUCGUUCUUGUCUUGAAAUUGUACAGGGUGUAUUCAAAUAGCUUAAAAAUAAAGUCGUGAAAUCCUGCAGAGUUACAUAAUUUUCUACUUUAUCAUAACUUAGACCAUAGAUAUAAACUCCAUGAAUUUUUUUUUAAAAUUGUCGCUCCAGGGAUUUAUUUAUUUAUUUAUUUAUUUUGUGCUCCAACUCCUUGCUUCCUUUUCCUUUUUUCAUCAUCUUCUUUGUCCCGAAUCCCCCUCUCUCUCUAAAACUCUCUCUAUCUCUAUGAUAAUGCGGAAUCCGAACCUCUCAACAGCUUCGAUGGUGGUAUUGGACUUGUUUCCUCAUCAUCCUCAUCAAGCUCCCUUUACGAGCCCUUAAGAAUCUCCAUGAGAUCAUCCUAUUAACAAUGUCUCUCUCUCAUAUUUCAGAUGCUACAGUAUCAGAUGCUGAUAUGGAGAGGAAGAUCCUUUUUGAUUCAACGGCGAAGGUUUCCAGCAUCUUCAUGGAUUUCAUGAUCAAGUAAGUCACUCACACACUACUUUUUUCUUUUCUUUUUCUUUUUAUUUUCUUUUUUGUAAUGCACAUCUGAAUCCUGCAUUUCAUUGUGAGAAACCAGUGAUUGCAUUUAGUUUUUGAUGCCCAUCAAUGGAUGCUGAAUAUAAAAUAUUGAAAUCACUGUCAUCUAAUAGCUUAAGCAUUUGGAGUAAUUCGUAUAGUCGUAUGGUAUUAGAGCAAGAGGUCCUCAGUUCGAAUACCACCAAGCUCCUAGUUUCAUUUAAUUUUCUAUCAUUUAAUUUAAGUUUACGUCUUAGGUCGUUCAGAAAGUCCUAAGUUCAAGGGUGUGGGGGAAUGUGGAACAUCAGUUAUCAGAAUACCGUUCUGUAACAAUUUAAGCUUUUGGAGUAAUUGUGAUGUAGUAUGGAACGAAAACAGCUAGUAGAUAAUCGAAUUUAGGCUAACAGGGACUAUGAAUAAAGAUGGAACCGUUAGGGUUUUAAGAAAACCACUAGUUUCUUAGAUAUAUUGAAAAGAUCAUCCAAAACAACCAUUAUCUGAUUUGCAUCCCUUUUAUAUUAGGGUUACAAGGUGCUCUUCAAAUCCAGUCCUUGAUUAUGACUUAUUGGCUAACUUUAAACUCUAACUGUCAAAAUAUAAUAAUAAGUCGCAUGCUAGUCACAUGACAACUAACUAAAUAAAAUAAAUAAAACAAUCGAAAAGUAAAACAUAAUAUUAAAGCUCCUGUAUCAAAUUGGUUAUUUUCUUGUGGUGUCUUAGCAGCUCCUGAAUUCGAAUCCCACCAAGCUCUUAAUUUCAUUUAUAUGUCCUCGUUUUUAAUUUUAGCACACGAAUUGAGUCUAUUGUAAGGUCUUAAGCUCGGACAUGAGGGGAGUGUUGGAUAUAAAAUAUUAAAUGCCAUUUUUCUUCAUUACCUUAUAACUUCAUAUUGGACUGUGCUAGGGGAGUGCUAAUGAUAGACUUUAAUCUACACUGUGUGGUGUUCAGCUAAGAAGUAUUUGCAUGCUUCAUGGUCGUUUGAUGGUUUGAGUAGAUUUCCUUUCACGAGUAUUUUCUUUAUUCAUGGCUCACGGAACUCAUCUAAAAUGUGGUGCAUAUUGAAAUGGGUACCUAAACUUUGAAAGUUUUGAUUUUACUAUCUAAUAGUUUUUUUUUUUGAAUAAAUACUCAAAUUUUAAAGUAUUUGCUUUUUUAAUUAAUAUCACAGAACAUUCCAUAAUAUAAGAGAUUAUUCUGUUACUUGACGGUAUAUUCAUCAAAAGACAUAUGGAUACUGCAAGAUUAGAUACAGACACCUGUUUUGAAAAUCUUGUAAGGUUCAGUGGUAAAAUAAAAAUAUUUAAAGUUCAGGUACCUAUUGUAAAUGCGCUAUCAUUAUGGUAAGUUCUGCUGGGAGACUAUUUCUUUUCUUCAUGAUUGUUAACUUUCUCUCAAUUGAUGGUGGAGAUUUCAGGUUAUAUCUGAUGCUAUUUUGUGCAUCUUUACUGUAUUUGCUAUUUAUUUCUGUGCAAUUAAUCAUGGUUCUCAUUCUUGAACCUUGAAAUAAUCAAGAACAAACGCUUUAUAGGGUUGCAAAGUUUGAGGAGCUAGUUGAUGUGGCAAAGCAGUUUCUUAUGAGAUUGCAUCAAGAGAUAGGUGAUUGUCCCUUUUUACUUCUCAUUGGAAAGCCAUUGAACUAAUAGUUGCAAAGUAUUGUUCCAAAACCUAAUAGAUGAUUGUCAUUUCUCUGUUCAGCACAGGUCAUGUAAAAACUUAAAUACAAGGAAAUGGUAUUUACUGUUGUCUAGUCUCUUUAAUCUUAUGCUGAUGUGUUCAUAACCCGAUAAUAUUUUCCUUCCUCACAGAAUACUUCAGAAGGCCGAAACUUGAUGGUACAUCAAAGAUUGUCGAUGAGAUAAUUAGAUCGAACUUCACUGAGAAAAUGAAGGCAUAUGUGGAAGCUGGGUGCAAUCACUCCUUUCAAAAUAUUCAAAAUAUCAGUCAGAGUAAGUCAUUGUAGUUUCAAAUAAAUGACAAAAUUAAUUAAUAGAGUACACCCUCAAUAAGAUCAAACUCAGAGGUUAACCUUUAAGGUGCUAAAUUGUUUGGUAGCUCAUUGUAUGCAAAAGCUAUUAAGAUAAGCAAAUGGGAGCUUUGGAUAAGCAACGAUUGAUUAGUCCUAGGUGAUAAGCUUGGGCUAGCCUUCUUUUGAGUCAACAAAUAACCAUCAAGUAAUUUAGAUGAGAAAUUUUGUCGUCUUGUACUUUUUGCCAAGUUAUUUGCCCUACUUUCCUACUUUGUAAAUCUGCUGUUUUCUAUCUGAUACUAUUCAUUUAUUGCCCUUUAUUUAGCUUAAGGAAUUUUUUAUUUCUUGCACCUCCUAUCCACUAACAAUCUAUUUUUGGACGCUGAGGAUUCCCUUGCCAUAAGCCUUCGUAGGUGGAAUAAUGAAUUCCUUGCUAAAAUAUCUUCACUUUGUUUAUUCUGCCAAAUAAGGAUUUCACAUCUUUCUUGCUGAAAAAUGUCUUUCUUGCCAAAAUUUCUGUGUUUUGCUUUUGAUUCACUUAUAUUGACGUUUCUCCCUUGAUAGAUAAUGGUUAUAUCCAAGUAGUAACUUCUCUUGUUAGAAUGGAAUGGUAAUAAGAGAAAAAUAUCUUUAUUUUUGGUUUGAGUUGCUUUCUUAUAGCUUAUUUUCCUCUGUUGACAUGAAAAUUCUUGUUGAAGUUCAAUCUUGCGAAGAAGGCCUCCGAGACCAUUUAAAGAAAGGUGCCUUUCAUCUCCUCUUAUUUCAUAUGAUAUUUGCCAUUUACUUACUAUUUUAUAUUUCUUAGAAUCAACAUCAUUUUAAAAGUUGAUCUGAAUUUCCCUAUAUUUAAAUCUUUUAAGCGUAUCGGCUAAUUGAUUGCAUAUUCAGUUAAGCACAAGAGUCGAAUUGGCUUAAUAUUAAGAAUGCGUACAAUGCUAUGUUGAUUAGUCCUUUUAAUGUGAUUCUUGUCCACGGAAAUAACAUAGAAGUUGCAUUGACUUAAGUUUUGCGUGUUCUCACUCAACAAAGAGUUUAAUUUGUAGUGUCAUUGUGAACGAUUAGAUAUACAUGCAAGGAAUUGAAAGAGGCACUUUUUUUUAAGAGAGAGAAAGGUAGCACGCUACCCGCUUCUUUCAUUUUUUUUUAGAAAUGAACUCUAUUAGAAAUGUGAAGCAACUAGGCUUCAAAUUUGGGACCUCUAGUAGCAACCUUCAAGUCCUAAGCCAACUGCGUUAGGUACGGUCGAUGAAUUGAAAGAGGAUUUUAAGUUCUUAAUCGGAUAAAUCACUGUUUCGUAACAUUCUGCCUUGGACUUUUAAACAUUUAUGUAAUAAGCAAGCACUGUUUAUAGUCAUCCUCUGGAUUUAUGAAGUAUAUACCCUGCUAUCUGAAUAUGUAUACAUGAAUCUUCUUACCACGAGCCAUGCAAAAGAGAUAAUCAAUGUUUGCUCUGUUUGCUUUCAAAAGUGUCAGGAACUUAUGUCCAAUUUGAUCUUAGGAUUGGAAUUUUUGUGGAACAAAGGAAGAGGUAAAUUGGAAAGGAAAACAUAAUGGUCUGUAUAUUGCUAAACAUUGUAUAAUCAUACUUGUGCAGAAUUAGAAGAAAUUACUGUAGUCAUGUUUUUACACAUUUAAUUGGAAUUAAAAUCAUUCUUCUUUCUUUCUUUCUUUCUUUCUUUCUUUCUUGUCUAGAAUUUAUUUUUCUUUGUUUUUUUCUUUUUUGGCAUGUCUAGAUGAGCUUUUUGGGCACUUAUCUUUUUGACUGAUCUCAUCAUUUUUAAUGUAAUUGAAACUGCAAUAUUUCAUUAUUUUUCUGUUUGGAUGAAGCAUUAAUCACGUAGAUCCAAUCCAGUAAUUCGCAGGAAACAUGAAAAACUUCUGUUUCAUUAUGGUUGAAACUUUCUCUCUGUUUUUCUCUCUUUCUCUGGCUUGUCCGCCCUUUCUUUCACCUAUUACAUGGCACAGCGUCAGAUUCAUGCACAGAGUGCUUUUCUAUUUUGUACUUAGUAGCUAUAUAUAUUCUAUCAAUUUCUCAGCGAAAACUCUGCUCGAUGAAGUCGAAUGCCUCGCCAAGGAUGCAUAUGGUAUUACACAAGCAACGAAUCAAAGCACCUCUAAAUUUUUUGAGAACGAUGAUUGCAACAGCUUGAUAGAUGAUGUUCUUCCUACUGAGGUACGCCCAGUUAACAGCAACUUCUCUAAUUAAUUAUUCUUUGUAACUUCGGUUGUGAUAACCAUCCAAAUAGGUACUUGGUCUGUGCUGAAGGCGACAAAGUCACUAACUAAUCAUAAAUAGACUUGCUAUAUUGUCCUAGCAGUUGCUAUGAGUUAAGAUAAAAGUUUUGUUAUAAAAGUUUUGUUGUAAACUUCGGUAACUAAUGAUUAACGGUCAUAUAUUCAAGUAACUUAAAAAAGCUUUUUAUCACUUAUAUUUGGUUGUGUGUGUUUAUUUUUUGUGUAUAUUAUCUUCGCGUUUUGUUCUAACUUUCGUCGGGAUUCAAGAGUAUUACGAAGUAUAAUGACAAAAUCACAUCUUUUAUACUCUUAAUUGACUUCACAGAGUUGUCUGCAUUGUUCUAAUACUCUUUUUAUUGCCUUUUUGUAUUUUCUAUUAUAGCAGGAUGAAACUCGGCCUUUACAUCUUCAAGACAAUUUAAUUUUAUAUGUUACUACAAUGAUGGUUAUCUACGGCAUGUUGAAGCUUGACUAUGCCAUGCAGGUAAACAUGGAUUUAUAAUUCUAUCCUUCAACAUUUCCAUUUCACCUAUUUAAGAACAAAAACCCAAUCGAAAUUUGCAACUCUAUAUAUAUAUAUAUAUAUAUAUAUAUAUAUAUGCUGCAGGAGAAAAUCGUUCAAUCUCUGAAUCUUAAGACAUCAUCAUCGGAGCUUGAGAGCUAUUGUCUUAUGUGGGAUUUGCGCCCCUAUAUAAACGACAGCGUUAUGCAUCGAGCUUGGAAGUACGUUCCGUGAUGUGCCGCACUGGAUUAAGAAGCUUUUGGUGUUAAGAAGAAGCCCAUCGGCUGUGGCUUCUAGAAUUGCUUCGCUACUCUGGAAAGCACUUCUGUGACAUCCGGUCGUUGAGAAGGUUUGGAGCCUUAAAAGUUGAAAUGAGUAACACUGCCACAAUAUCGGAGGCUCCUAUUUGAAACUUUUGUUGGUAGAUGAAAAAAGCUGGUCGUGUCAUGCUUCUCUGAAGAGCUCUACUUCGAACAACAUUUCUGUAAUGUACAAGAAAGAGUAAAAUGGAAUUUCUCAAAAGAUGGUAUAUAUGUUUGGCUGCGCUCAUUGGCUGUAAAGAUGUUGCAAUUUUUUCGCAAGUUGUUUUGAGUUAAUAUUCAGGGGAAAAGAUUUCGAGUUUUUUAUAUUGUGAGAGUAGAUCUCGGCCCUUUUGAUUUUACUAAACGGGCUUUUAUCAGAGGAAUAUAAUGUGGCAAGAAUAAAACAUUUUAUUAAUCCUUUAAAAUAUCGGAUUUGAAAAGCUACCUCCGCUAUUGGUUAUUUUUUUGCCAAAAAAAAUUUAAUCUUAAAAGAUUAAUAUAUUCUUUUGCAAAUCUUAUGUAUUCCAAAAUUUUUAAUUGAGUGCAAAAGACAAAUAAAGUUUCGAAUUUCCUAAAUUUAGUAAUAUUUAAAUAGAAUUUAUAUAUUUAACUAGUUUGCUUUUUUAUGAUUAAUUUAGUGUGAAAUAAUAUAUGUAAUAUUAAUCAAAAGGGUAUUGCAGUAAUUUUGUUGAUAUAGUUGAGUAAUUUCUAUGUUGAAUCAAACGCAAAGAUAAUAUAUUUCCGAGUAUUCUAAUAUAUGUACGAAACAAAAACAUUCACACAAGACAGGAAUUCAAUUAUGAAAAUAGAUUUUUUAAAAAAGUAAAUUCUCAAUGAAAAAUUUAAAUCCUGUGAACCAAAUAGAUCAUUUUUGUCGAAUUACUUUUUCUAGCAGUUAUAAUUAUAACUAUCUUAAAUUUUUUUAGUUGAAUGAUGAAACAUAGCAAUUAAGGCCUACAUCCUUGUGUCAUUGUAUCUCAAUUUGCUCUACCAGAGAAAAGUUGCAGCCACUAUUAUCUCAACUGCUCUUUGAUGUUAAAAUAUGCGCACGUUAUUCUCACAAUUUGCAAAUCAAAAUAAUUCUUGAACUCAACUGUUAAACUUUACUGGAGCAUAGAAUCCAUCUUGCGUGCUUUCAAAAGCACAUGAAUGAUGCCUACUAUUACUUUUUAGCUCUUGGAUCUACAGUAGUAUUAUCACCGAAAUAGGAAAACUUAGACAUUCAUCAAGGGUUGAGGAGUUAGAAGCAAACACUGUUCAUGUGUUUCUAAAGAGUAUUCACCUGCACUGCCAGAGCAAAUUUGCUGAUGACCUUGAUUAUUUAUGACAAACUAAAAUUGUCUGAGCAGAAUUAAUUGUCUUAAAAUUAACAAUUCUGAUGCCUUUAGCUGACAAAAGAGAAAGAAGAAAAGAGACCUUGACUUUUCGAUGCAAUUGGGCUUAUGAUUGCAAUAAACCACGAGCUCAAGUAAGCUUCCCUUCCUCGCUGAAAAUAGAAACAAUUUACUUGUCGCCCUCUUGAAUCCUGCAGAGUUCAAAUCCAAAAGAAAAGAAGUUAACGUAAAAUUAUGAUGUUUUAAUAAGGAAAAGCCAUAGAUUAAACAACAUUCAAUUAUUAGAAAAGUAGUCUGCAAGGCCCUUCCAACAGCAGUUAUCCGAUACAACACAUCUGUAGUCUGGAGACCCCAAAAUCAGUGCCUCAGAUCAGGGGUGGAGGGGUGGGGGAAGAAAGGAAUCAAAUUAGUCCACUGCAUUAUGCAUAUAGGUAGCGCAUACAAAAUACAAAUGAAAAAUAUCCGGCGAUUACAUUAUGAAGUUAAACGAAGAUUACAUUAUGAAGUUAAACGAAGAGCAUCGAUCAGUAAAAUGGAAUUCUCCCUGGAUUGACCGACUCUCCACACUCUAAAAUCGUCGUCGAAGAAACCGUUCUCUCUCCAGCGACGUAGCGAGAUCAAUGGAAAAGGUCCUUGUACAAAUCCGCGAGGAUCGACAUAGUGCCAUAUGAAAUCACUCGCAGAAAAUACUUCUCUUGGCGAUCUCUCGCCUUGUUCGGCAGUAUUCGCGCAUUCGUCAUCCCCGUCAAGAUCGAUAAUACUUUGUGUUUUGCCGUGUUCCUUACUGCUCUGGUCUUCUUUGUGUUCGUGGAUCCUAGUGACAUUCUUCUCUUCGAGUUUUCCAGAAUCGUGCAGCAAGCUUCCUGCCAAAAACAAAUCAACAAGUACAUAAAAUUGAAAGAAAUUCAAAUAAACAAAAGUUGAAAAAACAGUAUGCUGAAAUACUUUGAUCAGUAAGUUGUGCUUCUCCAUUGGUGUUGCAAGUCCGCUCGUCUUUGUGUUCACGGACUAAGGUAGAGUGAUCUUUGACGCCGUUCUGCGCGAAUUCCGUAGAGUCACAUCGUUGGCCUUCUGGGAAAAUAAAAAAGAAAGGAAGGAGAAGAAAAGGGGUGAGAUCACAGGUAGUGUAAAAACUUAGAUCCCCACACAAAGAACUGUAAUUAAUUCAACGGAUAUUUAUUUUUCAGAAGAGAGACCAUUUCUAGAAGAGACAUCAGGUGCUUUGUGCUUGAAGUACAAAUUUUUGUUUCCAUGUGAGAAGUUUUUUGAUGCUACAAACUAGGCUUUGCAAUAUGUUCAUAGUUCUGGAAAGGAAGAAGAUAAAUGAAAAGGUUAAUUUGCCAUUAAUGGUUCAAACUACAAGUUGAUUGAAACAAAACAACAAAGUUCAAACAUGUGUGUGUGUGUGUGUGUGUGUGUGUGUGUGUGUGUGUGUUUGUGAGAGAGAGAGAGAGAGAGAAAGAGAGAGAGAUUCUGAUUUAUGGAUUUGUCUUAGCAUAUGAUGAUAAUUGAGCAACUUGGUAAAAUAAAUGGCACAUAAGAUUCAUCAACUUAGCCGUAGAUAGGUGGAGAAAGGCUUAAUUAUCAUGGUCUGGAAGGUCUCCCUAAUCUCAAAUACUCCCGGGCAAAAUCCAACAUAGCCUCACAUCUCCAAAGCGUAAUCCUAAUACUUUUGCAGUUCAAAUAAAAUGUAUGCUGAAGUAAUAAGUAAAAGAAACAAAAAAAAUAAGAAGAGAAUAUUUUGUGGCUACUAGAACGGUUUACUGGACAAAAGUAACUACGCAGAAACGUAACCAAACAUCUUUGACUAAGGAAAUUAAAUGCUUGUCUAGUUCUCGAAUAACUGAGGAAUAAUAAGCGGCAGAUCAAAUGGUAGAAGAAAAGAAAUAUAUAUCUAAGUCUGCUAAAAGCUCAAAAAUAAAAAACAAUGCAGCUUUAUAAAUAAUAAAUAGAGGGCAAACAGCCAUAUUAACUGACAGGAUAUAAAAUUUUGCAAACCUUCGUGUUUUUCUGCGGCACCAUUUUCUUGAAGAGAAACUCCACUCCCUGGUAAAACAGCCAACAUGGCACAACAGUUUAGCCAAAUGCAGUUAGUCUUCUGUCUACAAUAAUGACAGCAAAACUUCCAUAAAUGAAAUUAAUAUCAAAUUCUAAUUCUACUUUUUCAGGGCAAGUUGCAAUGUAACCCAACGAGAGCACAUUGAAUUAAGAACUCAUCAUAACUCACAUAUAAUCAAAGGAUCUAUGAUGUUUAGCCAGAAUAUGCUGCAUAUGAUUUUCCAAGAACGUCAACGGAAUAAAUUACAUCAAAUUUCUGUAAAAGUAAUCAGGUGCAUUGCACGGAAUUGUUUGUAGAAAACUUGGGUUUAUAAAUUCAGAAGAACAAAUAAAACAAACCCCAAGAACUUAGACAAACAAGUUAAAGGGGAUUUCCUGAAAGAAUAUGGUUUUGAACAGCUUAAUAUACAAAAUUUCAUAUGAUCUCAAUUGUAUGAUCAUAUUUAUUGAGAACCGAAGGUGCAAAACGUUUGGCGACCCUCUCACUUAUAGGCCAUUCUGAAAUGGCCCCCUGAACUCUUAACUUUUCGGAUUGACGCCCAUCAACUUUUUAUUUUAUUUUAUUUUUCAAUUUGACUGAUUUUUAUCAACAAAAUUGGGGAUUUUAUCAAAUUCGUGAAUGAUUUAAUCAAAUUUAAUGGUUUUGAUCACUUUUUAACGAUUAACAACUAAAAGCUAAUAGAGCACAUAAAUUGAAAAAAAUCAACUUAACUAACUAGAAAAUCUCAAACCAAAAAGAAAAAAAAAAUCUGAAAGUUAAACAGGGUAUCAAUCUAAAAAAUUAAAGUUGAAGGGGCCACUUCUGAAUGGCCUAAAGGGGUGGUCACCACACAGUUUUAUCAAAAUUGAAUAUAAUGAUAAAACGGUACGAAAAUGAUAAAAGAAGAGCUAACGAAACCUUUAUCUUCUCCAUGAGAAUUUUCUACUAAGCCGGUAGUAUCUUUUGUAUCUUCCUCGUCCACAAUGACUGGUGGAAUCUCUUUAAAGAGACGUUGUCUCUCAGCUGGUGUUCUAAGUAGCUCUCUCUUAUCAAUGUACUCGUAUAGCUUGAAAUUCAAUAGGGUCAAGGUUUAAAAAUGCAGAAAGUAGCACUGAAGUCAGUGUUAGGUUAGUGUAGCAAUUCAUAAGUUCGGGAAAUGGUAGAUUUGAAAUUACAUAACAUGUUGAAUAUGUGUAUUCAAUGUGAAAUAUGAAGGAUAUUCUCUGCGCCAACCCUUCUCAUUUGCUCGAUCUAUCAGUCUAUCUAACUUCAGAAGUUCUCUAUCAAUCCACUGGAAAAAAGAAAAUUGGGAACUUAGUUAACCACCAAUAUAAAAAAAGCAAAUUAGGAAAGGAACAAAUUAAUGGACUUAGAUCUAUUAUUUAAAGAACCACAAAAAAAGGGUACUGUCAUUUGAAAAAACUCUAUUGGAGUGCAAUUUCUUGCAUAAAAGACUUCUAAUACCCACCCUUCAACAAAACGAUCUAUUAAUUACAUGGUGUAGGAGAACCACAAAAAAAGGAUACUGUCAUUUGAAAAAACUCUAUUGGAGUGCAAUUUCUUGCAUAAAAGACUUCUAAUACCCACCCUUCAACAAAAUGAUCUAUUAAUUACAUGGUGUCCUACACGCUACUAUAUAAAUGAGUUCUUCGCCAACACACUUACAUGAUUAGUUAUAUCAUCGUGUACACUUCUCACUUUUUCCUCAAACUCUGCCUGGCAAAUGGAGAACGUUAUAACAUUAACACAUGUAUCUGCCACAUAAGAUAGAUAUAUGAUAAACUGGAAAUCAGGUAUUUAAGCUAGGAAAGAAAGAAAUAAGCGGCUGAACCCUAUUGCAUAAAGAAAAGAAAACAAAUUAAGGAUGUAAUAAAAAUUGUGAUUAUGUAUAUAUUGUAUAACCUAAGUUCUGUAAAAUUAAAAAAUAUAACACCACAUAUGUAAAUUACAGAACAGAAUCCUCUUUUAGUACACCACUGCAGUACUUUUAGUGCAAAUACUAGAUAAAUGAGCAAGUAAAUAGAUCCAGAUGGUAAUUGUUUAGCUAUCCGGAUAAUGCUUGUUUACAUUAUGCAAGUUUAAAAGGUACAAUUAUCAUCCCUACCCACCACAUAGUCAAACAUUGAGGAUAGGUCUUUUUACCUAAAUACAAAUAGAUCCUCCUGCAUUCACAUUGAUGCUAAAAGAUAUGAUUGUUUUAGCAAACUUAUAUAAGCCACCCUUACCUCUACAGCCUAAAUAUUAGACAAAACAAUAAUGUACAAAAAAAAUAAAUAAUAAGAUCAACCAUGUAUAAAAAAGGUAGAGUCUAACUUAAUAUAUGAAGGAAUAACAAAUGAAAAAGAGACAUAAAUGGCAAAUUCAGAUACACGCCUCUUUUACUGUGAAUAGAACAAGUAAUUAUGUUAGAAAGGAUGUUCAGUGAAAGCCUUUAAUGGGCAGGUAAUCAAGACACCCUCUUUAAUAUAUCUUGUAAUUUAAGAACAAAUAUUUUUUUCACUAGAACCAACUUACCACAGUAGACCUUCUAAAGAGACCUCUCUUGACAAGUUCACGAAGUUCUUCACAUUCUUCCUGAUAACAAGAAUCUGACAUUAUUAUUUUGCCACAUUCGCUGUAAUGUCCUACAAAGUACAAGUCUACAUGCAAUGGACAAUAAAUCUAGAACUGUACACAGAGAACUGGAACUACUUCUAAAACUACUUUUCACGAAAUCCCAAGAAAGGACCUAUUAGGAUCUAUGGCAAAUAUUUGUCAAUUCUACAAUAAAUAUUGAUAUUUCCUACACACGAAUCAUGAGUAGUAAAAAUAGAAAUAAGUUGUACCUCCUCAAAAUCAUCCUCUGACAGCUUAGAUAUCUGAACGUCCUUCCACAUAUUGGAGACACAUAGAACAACAUCUGUGCUCGAGUCACCAACCUUGUAUGGCUCUAAAGCUUUCUUAAUACCUGUCAUGGUAAUUGAGAACAGAGUAAUGCUUUACAUUAGCAGAUCAUGAAAAGAUACAAUUUUAUAGUCUAUGACAGCAUAUGGAUGACAUUGUUUACAUCACGACAAACUAAAGGAAAUAGUGAUUCUAUAAUUUUCCAAACAGAUUGUAUCAAGCAGAAGAGUUUGGAUUGGCUAUCUCGUCUGAUAAUUGCAGAAGAUGCUGCAAAAGGUUUGAUAUACAAGAUUUAGNGGUGAUUAAAACAAAUAGUCCAAAAGUAAAAUAUGUUAAGAAUCAGCAUAUAUAGACCAGGCUUGCUAGUACUAGAAAAUUGGAUUAAUUGCCAUGCGCCAACCGGCCCACUAAUAUCACUUAUAAGAUGGAGCUACCAGCAUGGCCCAAAAUGAACUAGUUCAGAUUCGCAAGCCCACCUACUAUAUCAUACCUACUGACUUUGCAAGCAUCUUCUGAUGUGGAAAUAUUUGGGUGCAAUAGACUUAUAUUAGGAGAAAGGCACCAGUAUUAGCCUAAAGGAAGAAAAGUUUCUGCUAUUGUAAAUUCUCAAAGGAAUGCAUUUAUCAAUAGACCAUUACACUCUAUAUGACUUUUAGGAUAUUAUAACAACAAAAGGAGUGUUGGAUACUUCCUAAUAAUACAAUAGAGAGAAAAUGUAUUCUAAUAUGAAAUGUACAGAUGUAUGUUUUUCCUUACCCACUACUUGCCCAAGCUGGUAUGAUUUUUGUGGCACGUUGUAGAAAUCUUUAGGAUCAGUCUUGACCCUCACGAAACAGCCCAUAACUUUUUUCUCAAAGGUUUCCAGGUACCUUAGAAGAUUUACAACUAAGGACUUUUUCAAGUAUAAUAGCUUGAUAUUAUCUGCAACAAUAGAGGCAUAGCAUUUAUCCUUUUGCAGAACUUUAUUAAUGUCGUGAUUCAGACCUGGAUUUUGGACCUUUUUGGAUCCAGGACCCAAAAUCCUCUUCUUUUUUAGGACUGAGUUUUCACCUUCAUCCGAACUAAAUGAAAACUCUUCAUCUGAAUCACCAUUGCUGGCGAAGUGGCUUUCCAGCAAGCUGUAGAUCUUAUGGAGCUUCACUUUUUUCUUUUUAAAUAGAAAAUGCAACUUCUCGUCACAUACUGCAUUCUUUUUCUUUUUAUCGGGAUGAGAAAGAUUGUUUGCUUGGAUGUAUUCCUUUACAAUUUCACAGCAAUCCAAUUGGGUUAGAGGGGUUGUGGUAUCCUUACCAAUAGAAGAAAGAAAACCUAUCAACUCUUCUGAACCCCAACCUACAUAGUUUUUCUUCUUUGACCUAGGUCGUUUUAUUGAAGUUUUUGCUUUAUAUUUCAGCUCACCCAAAUCUGCAAGCAAUGACAUCUUGUUGUCAAAAUUAUUAUUUUCCAACUCAUCAUCUUCAGCCAUAAGCUUAUCUGAAUCAGACCCAUCCUUAUAAUUAAGGCCCCUUCGAAGAAGAGCAUUAGCUGCUUGAAGAUCAACCAAUGAUAGACCUUCCUUGUCUUUGAUUAUUUCCCAAUAAUCCAUGAACAAAAUUUUGUAUGUUUCUGCUUCUUCUACCACAACAUUACACUGGAAAGAAAAUGCAAAAAAGAAAUGGUGAAACAAAAAUGUAAAAAUCAGAACUAGAAUACAAAAAGUAAAUGUUAAGAAUUUGAAAUCAUCAUCUAUGUAAACUUCUUACAGCAUACAAUAAAUUGUAAGGAUUUAAAGUUUUGAAAAGGAUUUGCAAUGUAGCGUACCCCAUCUGAACCGACUUGAACAUCCCCCUCUAUUGACAUUGCCAGCCUUAAACAAUUACUGCAGAGGGCCCUAUUCUUUUUCUUCACUUGUACAAACCCAGCUUCUCUAAUGCAUGUGUGACAUACAGAGUUCGGACAACAAAAACAUUGAACAGAUGAGCUCUUUUUGCAGAUAGAACACGAGUGCCAACCUGUCAAUAACAGAGUCAAGUUCUUUCAAUAUUCUACAAAUGGAAAUUCUAUCCAGUUAUGUAACUAAAAGAAAUUUUGGCAAAAGGGAAGUCCGCCUGUUAUGCAGCCCACACCAGAAUAGAACCUUUACUUGAAAUUGGCCCAUGCGCUAUCAAGAUCUUUUUUUUCCCUCAUAUAAUAAUUAGGAAAGAAAAAAAGAUCUUAUCAAUUGCUGCAACUUAGAUAACUCAACAGUCACAAUGAACUUUAACAUCGUUUAGGCUUUUGAUGGUUAAAGCCUUCGUAGACAAUUUAUGCUUGAGAAUUAUCAAGUUAUUAUCAAAAUCGAACCUAACUAAAGUAUCUUACAUUACUAACAAACUUGCAUGAUCAUUUUAUUAUAUUGUACAGACAUUCUUGUAUAUUAAUAAGUUUCAAUCAGUUUCAAAGAUGACCAGAAGUAAAGGAUUCUACAAACUGUCAUAUUUAUCAGUCAUUUCAAAAUAAUAUAAAUUUUAUAGCAUAGCCUAAGGAUCACACAAGGCGAUCCCAUUACCAAGUUCAACAAAUAUUAAAAUGUAAUUCACUCCCCAAAAAUUAACUUGAUCGAAUUAAAGUGGAUAAAAUUUUGGUAGCGGUCUCAACAUGUGUUGCUAGCUAUAGAUUCCACGUGAUGUGAUGCAAUAGGAAGUCGUAAAAUAGAAUCAUGCAAACAUGCAGAAAUAUACAUAAAGUUACCACAGGUCCAUUGCUCAUCUGUCUCAAGGAAAGUAGGAUCCCUUCCAACACAUUGAGGAUGAUAAGCUUUCAGACAAUUCCUGGAAAAGAACAAAAAUAUCAUCAUUUAAAAUGCAAAAGACCACAAAAAUUGCCAAAUACGAGUUGUGUAUACUGUACAGACUAUAGAACUCAAAUAACCAGUAGUUUAAAAAUCACCAUGCAUUGAAGAACGCAAUCAUCAAAUGAAAGGAUCAGAAAAUGUGUGCAAUUAAAGAUAUAGAAACAAAAACAACAGUCAUGUAUAAUCAUAGACAUUCAAGAAUACAAAUAUAAAUGGAAAUUAUGAUUCUUCCCUCAAGUUAAGCACACAUUUUUAUGAUAACCGAAUGGUCUGAAAGUAUAAUUCUUCCUACAAAGAGAUGAGACAGAUAAAUUAUUUACAACAAUCUUCUUUAUGUCGAAAAUCAGCAAAUAAUCUACUCUAUGUGCACCGGUGUCUGCUCUAACCUAUUUAUCUGAGUUCCUAUAAAUUUUGGCAUAAAAGGGUACAAGCUAAAACUAAAUAAAAAAUAGCAAAGCAUGGUGCUGCCACCUCUUCUUUCAAACUAAAGAUACAUAAUCACUAUGAAGAAGAAAGAGAAGAAAAGUCGAAACCUCAUGAUCUACACAUAAGAUGAAGAAAAAUAUUAACUCAUAGAUCAAUACUAAUCUUCUAUUCUAAUUAGGUGUGAAAGUGUAAGUUAAUUACACUUUACCACGCGGUACUUCAGGAUUUUUUUUUUUCUCAUUUGCCACGCCUCCCCACUCCCAGCCCGCUGCCCCCCCCCCAACCCGCCAUUAAGCUAUCAUUCUCAUUUUCUCGCGGAUAACACGGCUAAACUAUUGUUAUCUCACCAAAAACACCACAGAACUACCGUUUUCACGCCAAAAAAUAGCAGCGAACUAUUAUUUCUCAACUGAGAUACUACCAAACUAUUAUUUUCUCGCCAAAGAUACCACCAAGCUAUCAUUUCAAUUGGGUUUUUUACAACAAAAAAAAAAAAAAAAAAAAAAANACAAAUGAAAAUAACCCCCAAAAUACAGUGUCUUCAAUUGUUAUUAAGACUAAAGAAUACAACCUAGUUAAGUUUCCAAACAUAAAAUAAGAAGAACCACCAUAAAAUUUCAACACCUCAACACUAAAAGAACAACAAAUAGUAAUUCUAGGCAAGGGAAAAUGCAAUGUGAAUCAAAAUAUUCCAAACAAACAUAUAACAAAAUACAACAUUUAACAAAAUUUCGGAGCUCACUUGUAAUCACAAGCACGAAGAAGCCCCCCAUCCUUGCAAACAAAGCAAAAAUCCUCCGCAAUCUCCUCCUCCUCGUACGCAUUACUCCUCCCCAUAUCACAAACACAGCCACAAAUACCUAAACCCCACCUUUAACACACGACUACUCCAAUUUCCCCUCGAAUUGAAGAACCGAACAACCUAUUUCCCCAAGAAGCCUCGUAUACUGAGAAACCCAUCGAUCCACUACCGAAUUUGAGCAAAACCUACUGUACGGAGCAGCAACUAUAAGCGCUUCGAUCGAAUACCUAGUUGGCUGGAUUCGGAGAGGUGCAAAUCGAAGCUUCGUGGAGUGGGAGGGGAGGGAGAAGAGGAGAGAGAGAGAAAGAGAGAGAGAGAGAGGAGGGAAAAAGGAGCCAAAUUUGGGAGUAAAACCCUCGUGAUCUCUCUACUCCCUCGUGCGCUCGGAGGGAGACGGUACUUUUACCACGAGCCCCUUGUAUGUUAUAUAUAUUACAAACGAAUGUGUAUGUGUCGUUUAUAAUGGAGAAAAUGUGUGGAGACCCCCUGAUCUUUAGCACGUUUGCAAAAGAGCCCCUGAACUUUCACUAUUGGCAAAAGGAUACUUUUUUUUUUUUUUUUUUUUUUUAAGUUUAUCAUAUAGUUCAAUAGACCCGUUCCUCCGCAACAAGUGAAUUUACUAAUUACAAAACCGUUUCGAUCUAUUAGGGAUGCAAACGGAUCCGGGUUGGUGAAGCUCCCGCCCCGAUCCACCCCGACGGGGUAGUAAAUGGAAGAAAAUAAAGGCUUCAGGGCGGGAAACGGGAUAAAUUUUACGAUCUGAGAUGGAUUCGGAAUAGAAAACUGAAAAAAAUUUUGACCCGCUCCGAAUCCGCCCCGCCAUGAUCCGCCCCGAAUCCGCCCCNUAUUUAUAUUUUAAAAAAAUAUUCCUAAAAAAUAAUGUAUUUACAAAAAAGUUUAAAAUACAAAUAACUUAGUACUCUCAUUUCUAAUGUAUUUGAAACUUUUGAAUUUUAUUUUGAAUUGUGAUUGAUAUUUUUUAUUUUUAUAAUUAAUAUUGUUAAAUUAUAUAUAUAAUAUUAUUAAAAAUUAUUAUUUUAUAUUUUACAAAAAAUUAAUAAUAUUAUAAUUUUAUAAAAAAUAUUAGUUGGCGGGGGCGGAUUCGAAGCGCCGGCGGGAGGCGGGUUACGAGGCAGGGUGGAUUAUGGGAUGUAUUUUUUAACCCGUCACGAAUUCAGGGCGGAAGGUGGGGCGGAAUUUUGUUAGUCAGGGCGGGAGGCGAGGCUGGGCUCCCGCCCCCAGAUCCGCCUCGUUUGCAUCCUAUCUGAUACCAUACACAUAAUUUUAUAAUAUAAAAAAAUAUACAAUAAAAUAUAUUUCUUUUCUAGUUUUAAUAAUUAAGCAUAACGAUCAUAGAAUAAAUUAAAACGAACUUCAUUUCUUUUCGCUUAUACGUUAGAAUACAAAAAUAUUUUUUUUUAGUGUUUUGAAAUUUGAUAAAACUAUAUGCAAUAUAUGAGACCAAAAUAAUUGUAUAAUUAAUAAUUUUAAUUGAAGAGAUUAAUCUAUUGAACUAUUUGAUAAAAUUUAAGAAAUGAAUUGUAAUCUUAUAACCCCGCUUAUCCUACGAUCAUUUUUUGUCUAUUUGUCAAUUACCUCAUCAAUCUUUUAAAAAAAUUAAACUUCAAAAAGCGUUAAAAAAUUUUUGCAAUCCCUUUGAAGAGGGGUUGUAAUAUCUAGAUUUAGUAUUUUCCUACCGUACUCCUUUUCUAUCCUCUUCCCUUCUAUCUUUCCCUCUUCUCCGUCCUCCCAUCCAUUCUCUCGCCCUCCCCUCUCCCUCUAUCUCUACUCCCUCUAACAACUAUGACAACAAUGAUAUCGGCGUCGCCGCCGUCGAUGCUGCCAACGAUGAUAACGCCAAUGUCAAACAUUAAAUUAUUUGUAUUUAAUUAUUUUGUUUUUAGUUAUGUUUUAAAAAUAAAUUCAAUUUGAUACAAUCUACUAAUAAAUUAUGUUUUUUUUCAUAUUUUGAUCCAAAAAGAAAAAAAGGGUUUGUUUUGAUUAUUAUAACUUUUCUUCAUUGAGUGUUUUUUUAAGAGGUAAUCCAAAUAGUAAAAAAAAAAAGUAAUUUUUGUACAUAGUAUAUAAUUUUUCAAAAUGUUAAAUACGGUAGAAAAUAAAAUUCUAUUUUCUUUUUCAAUGAAUGCUAAAUAGGCCCUAAGUCUACAAUUCAAAAGGAUUGUAAUAUUUCUAGCCCAUAACUAAAUGAUUUUAAGAUUUAAAUAAUUUUUUUGACUUUAAGUUUAAUAUAAUGAUGGGUUAGGUUGUAAAAUUACAACCUAAAUAGGGCGGUAGACCUAGCAACACUUUUUAUAAUAUCUAAGAAAAGCUACAAUUUAGCCCAGCUUGCAAAGAUACAAAUGGAUUCUGGUUGGCAGAGCUCUCGCCUGAUCCACCCUAAAUGGGGUAGACCCUAAAUGGGGUAGUAAAUAAAUACCAAUAGACAAAUUCAAGGUACUAAAUUCGGAUAGUUUUUUAUCCCAAAAUAGAUUUGGAGCAGAAGAUGAUAAAAAGUUUAAUCAAUCCUUAAUUCGUGCUGCCAUGUCCCACCCCGAAUUUGUCCCAAUAAAUAUUAAUUAUAAAAUAAUUUUUAUUUUAAAAAUAUUAUUUGAUAUUAAAUGUUAGCUCUUUCUAAAAUUAAUAUGAUUUAGGAGAUGCUUAUUUUUAUGAUAUUUUAAUUAUUUUUAAAAUUUUAUUUUUUAUUAAAACAAAAAUAUAUGUUUAAUUUAAAUUUAAAUAAAAAAUAAAAAAAUAUUUAAUUAGGGUGGAUUUGGGGCGCCUAGGGCAGAUUUCUAAGUAUGGUGAGUUAUGAAAGAUAUAUUUUAUUUCAUCAUAGAGGUGAGACGGGAGGCUAGGCAGAUUUGGUGUUGGCUGGGUAAGAGGCGGGGUGGGUCUUUCACCUCCAAAUUCACUCUGUUUGCAUUCCUAGCCCUACGUACUUACGUAGUUUAAUGCAUUUUAUAUUUACAUCCUAUGUUUUAAAAAUGGAUAAUUACUUAUGUACCUCUCAGAACUUCAAAAAUAUUUUAUUUAUCCCACCUUUUUUUUUCUUUCUAAUAUAUCCCUCAUAUUUUCAUCCGUUAUUCUAAAAUACUCCUGCAAUUAUCAGCCGUUAAGUUAACUUGGAUUAAAUAUGAGUUAAAUAUCUACUAAAAUUUAAAAAAAAUCAAAAUGCCUAUUUUACUCUUAACUUAAGGGCAAAUAAGAAAUGUUGGUGAUAAUUAAAAGGUAUAUUUGAAAAGGCCAAAAAUUAAAAUACUUUUUGUACCCCUAACUUAACGGCCAAUAAGAAAAGUCGUAAUGGUGGAAGGGUAUAUUUGAAUAGAAAAUUAGUAAUUUUAUAUAGAUAAUAGUUAUUGUAACAGUUUGUUAACAGAAUUUAACUCUAUAGAUAUAUUUGAAGUAGGUUGGAACGUAAAAGAAUAUUUUCAAUAUUCUUCUAAAAGGAGUAAAUUAGAAAGUCCGGAAUAUUUCAGGUAUAUAUAAGCAAUUGCCUCAUUUUAAAAAAACUAUUAUUUUGAUGUAUUGUAUUUUUUUUAUUUUACUGUAAAAAUUAUAAUAUAAUUUGUAAAUUAUAAAAUAAAAGUAUAU
RNAcentral lists this long non-coding RNA (58573 nucleotides) under Ananas comosus (pineapple). RNAcentral describes it as "long non-coding RNA (ACOM_LNC002331)". The record is from RNAcentral. Lineage: Eukaryota; Viridiplantae; Streptophyta; Magnoliopsida; Poales; Bromeliaceae.